UUUUUUUUUUUCUUUUUUGAUAACCGAGAAAUCCGUUUGUGACCCGCCCUUUGGACCAAUCACAGCCUUCUAAACUCGGUGGAUAAUGGGCCCGCCCCUCUACCCUUCUCCACUUAAAUACCGGGCUUCGAAGAUUGGGCUACUUAUUUAAGACAAUGUAAUCGAUAUAUUGCUUCACUUGAUUGAGUUUUUUCUCUUUCAUUUUCUCACUUUACUUCACAUGAGUCCGGCCGAGUUGAUCUUUUGGUGGACCGGACCGGUCGCAACCUGGGCCGUUCACACCCUUAAUUUCUGUUCACUUGGAGAAACUGUUUCACUAGCAGUUCUAGAGCUUGUAAAUUCUAUCUAGUGUAACAUUCGAGAUUUUGUUCUUCUAACCAAUUUUGGAUCAACAAGAUACUUAAACGCCUAUGAUCUCUAAGAUUCUUCAUGCCACAUGCCAAAUCUUCACUUUAUGUACUUCAAAUGCUUGAGUUAAAAAAAUUCAUAGCUUUGUGUUUCAGAAAUCUGGUUUUCAUGUGUAGGCCAGGGAUCUUACUCAAUCGAAGCAACCAUCAAAGAUAAUCUUUCGAGUGUAUGGUUGUGUAGCAACCUGCCAAGACAUGGUGGAACAUUUAAAUCCUUCAAAAUCUUUCAAUAAGGUACAUACUUUAGUGUUCAAGUAUGAUUGCCUUCUUUAUAAUUUUCAUUUUUCUAAAAUUAAUAGCAUGUGUAUUGCAUUUCCUUGUAUUAUUAAAAUAUGCAUUGGAUACAUUUUAGGUCCUUCUUGCAUAGGAGGUAAUGAAAUUCUUAGAAAAAUAGAGUUGCAGAGAUGUGGCUAAAAUCUGCUUGAAUGAUGAAAUUUAUCUUCAUUAUAUUCUUUUGAGGAAAAAGCUGGUUAAAUGUCCCUAAUAGCCUAAGUGAUGGGUAUUUCUCUGUCUGUUGGAACCUUAAAAAAGUGUCCGUUUUCGUUAACUUGAAUAAAGAUAUCAGGGAGUCUUUCCUUCUUUAGAUUUUAAGGUCUUUGUAGUUCUUAAUAUGGGAAAGGACGAGAACAAAAUUUUAAGUUUGUGCACAUUGUUUUUGGUACCUUUACAUUUUAACAUCAUUGAAAAUGAAAGCAUCCAAGUUCUUUGCCUGUCAUGAUGUUACCUUAUGCAUUACACUAACAAUAGACUUGUCAUUCAUUCAGGCUGAUUACUAUGUACAUCCAGAGCAAUACAAACCUGCUUUCCAUGAGAAAAUAGCCCCGUAUGCAUCCGUCAUAGGUCAGUGAUGAUCAGGCAUUUCUUGUUCAUUUUCUAAUCAUUUUUUGGGAAAUCUAAUUCAGUAUCUAGUUUUACGUAUUUCCUGCUUGCUCUGACUACACUAGAUACAUCAUGAGCAUGCAGUUGUUUUCAUUAGUGAAUCAAAGCUUUCAAUGCUUGAUUGUAAGACUCUUCACCUAGAGCUUUGUAUUAUAUGGAAACCUGGUGUCUUCUUCCUCUUUUUAUGAGUUAUGUAAUUGUGUUACUAAAAGAAAUUUUUUUAUUUAUAAAUAUUACGAUUUUGACAUUCUUAUGCAAGUUAUUGCAUCAGCUAUCAUUCAACAGUUUUGACAAUUUUUUUCAACAUUCUUAUGUAAUUGAACUUUGUUACACCAAUUCUACUGUACCUAGUACAAGAAGUCUUUCAAGUUUUUUCUUUUUCUAGUGUUUUCAAGCAAUUUUGUGAAAAUGCGUGUUUGGUAAUCUGCCCUGCUUCUUCCAGUAAAUUGUAUGUACUGGGAGAGAAGGUUUCCUAGGUUGUUGACUACUAAGCAGAUUCAAGACCUUAUGAAAUCCUUCUCAAAAAAAAAAAAAGACCUUAUGAAAAAUGGAUGCCCACUUGUUGGAAUCUGUGACAUAACUUGUGACGUGGGAUGAUCGAUCGAGUUCAUCAACCAAACCACAUCAAUAGACUCACCUUUCUUCAGGUACUUUUAGCUUGUUAUGAAGAUUCUAUAGUAUCUGUCAAUAUGUUUCCUACUUCCAUUUCGAAUAUACUUUAUAUACUGCUCCUCGCUUCACUUGGAAAAUUUUCAUUUACUCGGCAUUUGAUGUUCAUUUCCAAUUUAAUUUACAAUGAUGCAUCUAAAUAAUUCUUUCCUGGUCAUUACAAUUUGUUAAACAUGGAUCCUAGGUAUGAACCUUUCAACAAUUCGUAUCAUUAUGACCUAGAAGGUAAAGGUGUGAUGUGUUCAGCUGUUGAUAUUCUUCCCACUGAGGUUGCGAAAGAGGUAAUCUCAACAUCAAGUGCUACAAACUACAGUUAUCUAUUUGUCUUUAUAUCUAUGAGAUUAUGAUAUCUGUACCUAUGCUAUUCUUUGAUGUAAUAGGCAUCCCAACAUUUCGGAGAUAUUUUGUCCCACUUUACUGUAAGCUUAGCUUCCUUUAGAAAUCUUGAAGGGUUACCUGCACACUUGAAGAGAGCUUGCCUAGCCCAUUAUGGAGGUCUUACUCCGUUGUAUGAAUACAUACCUCGAAUGCGGAAAUCUGAUCUAGAGUAAGUCGUUCAUCCUAACUUUAUUCUUUUUUAUUGUGCUUUUUAUCUCCACCCUUUUAGAAACCAUUGGAUAAUUCAUGUGUUGAAUUGUUGUGGGCAAUAGGUAUUUUCUGGUCUUGAUAUACGAAAUCAUCAACCAGUUAUUUUCGUGUCCAUAGGUCAAAUCCUCAACUAGAGUGAAACGACUAAAAAAUCCAUUUCGUAUCUAUGAUAGAUAACUAUGUCUCUUAUGUUACCACCAUCCAUUCCCAACUUGUUUAUCGUUGCACAAAUGAAAUUAAAUUAAACUUUUUAUGUGCUUUUCAAUAUGCGUUGAUGUCCAUAAGUUUUGUAAAGUAUGUAACAUACCCGUUGAAAUAAUAUUUCUGGAUCUGAUAUGAAGUAGCUUGUAUUUUCUAAUAUGAAGUAAUGAUGUUAUGUUAUCCUUUUGAUUGGCAGUGACCCUUCAAUAGUUCUUUCAAAUUCCAAUGGAAACGGGAGGAAAUACACCGUAUUGGUAAAUUCCGAUGUGUUCUUUAUUUUAUUAUUGUUAUUAAUUGAAGUUAUGGAUACGCAAUUUUGUAUUAGUUAUUAAUCUGAUACGGAAAUGGGUUUGAAGAAGACUAAGAAAAACGUGUGAUCUCAAAACAGGCAACCGCUAUCUAAAACUUGUGUUUCAUGUAGUAACCAACUUCCAGAAUUUGCUUAUUUUGAAAAGUAUUUUUUUGGCAAAAUGGAGUUUUCGAGGAAGAACUUCAGAUAGUUGCAAUCUGUGUUUGACCAAAUCAUUUAAGAAGCGCUUUUGUAAGUAUACUAUAGAAGCAAUUUUUUCAGAAGUGCUUUUGAGCCUGAAAUGAUGAAAAAGACAUGUAAGGAUUCACUUUAGAAUUAGUAUAAUUAAAUACAUAAGUGAACUGAAAUACUUAUUAUUAUGAAAGACCUUAAUUAAGUUUUUAACUUUAUUUAGUUUUAAAAUUUUAAAAAUAAAUCACAAAAUAGAGAGGAGCAUGUUUAUGAGACUUUGGUCCUAGAUGUAUUGUCAAUAGAGGUGUCAAAUGGGUGGGUCAAAUAGGGUUGAGUUAAUAAAUGGGCGAGUCAUUGACCCGCUCAAAAGCUACUUGGGUUGAAAUGGGUUGGGCUAAAAUAUGGGUCAUAACCCAACUCGCUCAAUUCUUACCAAUUAGGUUUAAUUGCUUUACUUUGUUCUUUUAUAAACCUUUAGUACCUAAUAAAAUUAUUUUUUUCUUUAUUAUAACUAUGUAUAACAUAUGAAAUAAGAAAAAUGUCUUUUUAAAAAUAUUUUGACAAGAUUUCUCAUGGGUCAAUUUGGGAUACACAUCAACCCAAUUCUUACUGGGUUGGGCUGAAACGGGUUGAGCUUAUAAAUAGGCGGGUUUUGACCCGCUUAAACUUAACGGGUUGGGUGGAUUGGAUAUGUUGAGCUUGAUUUUGACAUAUACCUAAUUGUCCACAUUGGAUGAGGUUACACUUUGUCUAUAUUUUGUUGUGAUUUUAUAGGGGCUUGAUCAUUUGAGUCUUCUUACAGGUUUUGGAUUUACUUCUUUAAUUAGAAACUGCAACUAGUUGUUUCUACUCACUGCUGAGUUAAGAAUGAAAUAUAUACUUUUCUUACUUCUUUGAUGAUUUUAUCUUCUUAUGCUUGUACUCCAUCAUCUGAAAUUGACAGGUAUCUCUAAGUGGUCAUUUGUUUGAUAAGUUUCUCAUAAACGAGGCGUUGGAUAUUAUUGAAGCAGCAGGUGGCUCCUUCCACAUGGUGAAGUGCCAAGUUGGUCAAAUCACAAGUGAUUCGUCAUACUCAGAAUUGGAGGUUACUUUAUUUCUAACCUAGUUUUACCUUGAAAGAGAAGGGAUUCUCAUUAAAAAUAUAAAUACAAUUGUUUUAUUAGAAGAAUAUUUAGAUCAAAGAGAGUCAAAAUGAAAAAUCAUUGCCUACCAUGAGAAAAAUUGUGGAAUCUACAAACUUAUUUGAAAGUGUUUGUCCGUGUUUUAUAUUUUCGAAGUAAAAUUUAUCUUCCUCCAUUAUUUUUGAAGAUUCGGAAACAACCUCUCUAUCUCUACGAGGUAGUGGUAAGGUCUACAUACAUACUACCCUUCCCACACCCCACUUGAGGGAUUUCACUAGGUAUGUUGUUGUUGUUUUUGUUGUCUCUUUGAAGAUCCAAGAGAGCUAUUCAGUGAAAACAACCCUGCAAUCAUACACCACUAAAAAAAGUCGGGGCAGCUAUUCUAUUUCACUACAUAUGCUGGAGGGAUAUGCAUAUUCUUGCAUCAUGCUCUAGCCAAAUGAACCAAACACGAAUAAGAAACAGACAUUACAUAGUCUUCAAGAUGUUAGCAUUCCAAAACCCCCAAAACAUAAUGGUUGUCACUAUACUUCUCUCACGAACAUGUCAUAUUCCCAUUAUUUUAGCAGUGCUGCAGUUUCACUUCCUAGUGCUCUGCCCUUUUAUCGUACUUUUAUCUUCAUGCUAUAGUUGUUCUAUUUGUUGGAGAAGUGUUCUCACAAGUGAAUACAAUCAAGCUACAUAAAUACUUCUCUUUGAUCAUAAAAAUUCUGUGAACUUCUCGUAAUUUUCAUGAUUCUGUUACCUACUGGCAUGCUUUGCUUUUCAUAGACUGAAAUAUUUUAACGGAAUAGAGCUUCUUAGCUUUGGCAUAAGAGAGUUCAAUCUUCUGAUGUCUCAUCUCUUUUUUCGAGAUAGUCUGAAAGAAACAAAGCAAUGAAUUUCUCCUGAGAAUUACACGGGCCUUUCUAUAGACUAUCAAGGUACCCAAAAACAAAGACGAAAAACACCAAUUACUUUCUGGUGUCACUUUAAAACUUUCAGGUUCCUGUUGAUAAAUCCUAAAGCUACAGUUCAAACUGUAUUGCUCGAUUUUCAGUGUCAAAAUAAAACUUCAAGUUGUGAUUUUCAUGCUAUUCUUGGUUAAGGUGGAAAUUAAGGUGUUUGUUUUUUGUGGUUUCUUCUGUCAUGAAUAUUUACCUCUACGUGAUGCAAAACUUGAUGAUUCUUACUUCCCUUUUGCUUUCAUUAUUUGGGACAGGUUGGAGCUGAAGAUAAAUCCGUUUUAGAUAAAAUAGUUGAUUCUUUAACUUCCCUUGCUAAUCCAAGCAACUCUUUGGGAUCUCAAGACAAGGAAAACAACAUAUCUUUGAAGGUUGGGGAAUUCCAUGAAACAAUCAUGGAUGAGAAGUAUGACGCAAAGGUCUUAAUUUUAGGUGCCGGUCGGGUUUGCAGACCAGCUGCAGAACUUUUAGCAUCAAUUGGUAGCAUGACAUCUAGGCAAUUGCCUAAAUCAUCUGUAACUGCUGAUUUUGAAGAGCAAAGAAGGUCUUAAUUUUAGGUGCUGGUCGGGUUUGCAGACCAGCUGCAGAACUUUGAGCAUCAGUUGGUAGCAUGACAUCUAGGCAAUUGCCUAAAUCAUCUGUAACUGCUGAUUUUGAAGAGAAAAAUUGUGUCCAAGUGAUUGCUGGUUCUUUGUACUUGAAGGAUGCGGAGGAGGUAUGCAUGUAUAUCAAUUUUCAUGUGACUUCAUUGAUCACUCUUAUUUGAAAAGGAACUUCGUGAUUUCAUUUAUGUACAUUGGAAGUUUGAUGGUGUCUUUUCACUAACAAAACUUCAUAUAAAUCUGCGUCUUCAUUGUCCUAAUAUUAUAUUUUUAAAGGUUUGUGUAAGAUUUAUUUCUUCUUAUGUUCUCGUCUUUUUUCCACAUCACUCGUCUUCUUUGAUUCUCCUCCCCAGAUUCUUUGUUUAUCAGUUUUGCUUCUGCAGUUAAUGUUUUUUCCUGCCCCUGUGUCCAUGACUAUGGUUUUUCUGUUCUUUUCUUGUUUGAUUUGGAUACUGUUACAGCACAAAGUGACAAUCUGUAUUUGCUGUUUAUUUUGUUAUCAAUUAUCUAUUGUAUUGUCCAUUUACUGCACAUCUUGAUUAUAGACAAUAUAAUUUCAUCUACUGUUUGCAUGUUAUGGUUUGAGCUCUAUGUUUUCGCUUAUAGACCUCUAUGCUUUAUUUUUUUUUCCGUUAGUAAUCAUGUUUCAGUAGUACAGGUUACGAAAGGUAUUCCAAAUGCAAAAGCAAUUCAGCUUGACAUUACGAGUCACGAGUCUCUUUCUAGCUGGAUCGCACAGGUAUUGUCUUUUGAUUGCGUAUUGUGGUGAAAUGUUCUUCUUUUUGAAAAAAAUGGCCUUUGAGACAAUAAGUGGUAGUAGCAAGAAUAUUUUAUGUUUUUUGAAGCCUUCCCUAAUACUUAACAUAGUGUUAGGUCUCUUUGAAUUUAUGUAUGUGGUAAAUAAGUGGCUCUGUCUCAUGCUGUCAUUUUUGUCAUCGAGCAGGUUGAUGUUGUCAUCAGCUUACUGCCUCCUAGUUGCCAUGGUGUUAUAGCAAAGGCAUGCAUUGAGGUAUUUGUUUUCCCAUCGUUUCCUUUCUUUCUUAUGGGUAUCAUCUCCUUGUAAUUACAGAUUCCUAUCGUCUAUGCAUAAUAAAAGAGGCCCCGAUGAAUGGUAAAGCUAGAAGUGUUGACUACCUCUUGAACAGUUUGAUUUCUAGUAUAGAUAAAAUGCAAAUCAGUUCUUGAAUUUUUGUUAGUAAGUCUACGGGUGCAAAAGUCCCUUUGACGAUGCCUGAGGAUGGUGAGCAACAAUGUAAUAGACCUUCCAGGGUUGAACCACAUAAAAAGAACUCCCUAGAUUAUGGUACUGAAACAAAUGAAUCUUGAAUAAUUUUAUGAGUCAUAAUUCAAUCAAAUGGACCGUACCAUGGGCGAAGAAAUCAAUUCUGAGGAAAAAUCUCAACAUUUAUAAGCUAAAAUAUCAAUCGAACUCUCAUGAACUCCUGAGUUACUCCUACUAAAUGCAACUUGAAAUCUCCUGAUGCAGCUGAAGAAACAUCUUGUCAUGGCUAGCUACGUUGAUGAUUCUAUGUUAAAGCUAGACCAAGAUGCAAAAUCUGCUGGAAUUACUAUUCUUGGUGAAAUGAGCUUGGACCCAGGAAUAGGUAACCUUCACCUGAGAAAAUUAAAUGUUCUACAGUUACUUAUUUUUUGUGUGUGUGUCUGAUAAAGUUGUCCUCAGUUAAAUGUUCUUCUGCAUAUAAGUAGCUUGAAUAAGACCGUCAAUGAAUUUGUUGGAAACUUCUUCAUGCUAUGAUAUUUCCUCUGAAUGUGAUUGUGCAUAACCUAUGGUAAUAGAUACAGAUAGUACUGCAUUUCCAAGUUCGAGAAAAUAAAAAUAGUCGCUUAUAUUGCUGAAUUACAAGUGCCUGAUGGGGAAUAAAAUUGCUGCUGUAAAUUUGUGUUAUUAGUCUAAAUCUUUCUUGGGAAGACUAGUAUGCUUUUACCAAUCAUAGUCUAACUAGUGGCACAUAUUUUAUUAUAGAUCAUAUGAUGGCGAUGAAAAUGAUCAACCAAGCCCAUGCAGCAAAGGGAAAGAUCAGGUCUUUGGUUUCUUACUGUGGAGGUCUUUCCUCUCCAGCUGCUGCUAACAAUCCAUUAGCUUAUAAGUUCAGGUAUGCCUACUAAUUCAAUUAAAUGUUGAUUCAAUAAGGUUACAUUGUCAAUAUUGAGAAGCUCAAUUGUGUUAGCUUCUUGUUAGGACAUAUUUGCAAAAAGCUAUGGGGUAUUUCUUCUGCUUUCUUCUUUGGCACUUCUUGCAAAUGAAAAGCGCAUAAACUGGCCUCUCCAAAUUUCCUCAACAUUUCCAUUUUCCUUGGUGAUUAAACCGUCUCAACUAAAUUUUGAACUAGAGAGUAACUUCUCUUUUUUCCAACGUAAGACCGCAUACACAUAAAGCGGAUAAUUAUUUAUGUUCACUCACUUAAUCUAUUAUCCUCUUUAACCUACUGAACGUAAUAUAUUCACAUUGAUGUUUACUGCAUUCCAUCUUGUGGUAGUUAGUUUUUUUAUCUUACUUUUUGGUUAUUAGUGAAGUAGACAUAAUCUCUCUGUUAUCACUUACUUGCUAGUAUUCUCCCUAGUUUGUUGAUUUCAUAAUCAUUCUACUCAUUCUACUCAUUAUUAUUAUUAUUAUUGUUAUGUUGAAACAAUAUCUUGUUGGAGUCCAGCCGGAGCUAUACGAGCUGGGUGGAAUCCAGCAGCCUACAGAUAUCAAGGGGAAAUUAUCCAUGUCGAAGGUGAGUUGUUUAGCAUAAGAACUGUUUUGAUUUCUAUCCCAUGAAGAAAUAUAUUGUACUUAAAGUCUAAAACAACUUCAGAAUCUACUUCUACUUGCCUUUGUAAUAUGCAGAUGUUAGGUUCAUAUGUAUCCUUAGACAAUCUUAAAGAGUUUACGCCCUCAUUAUAUUUUUUUGGUCUCUGGCAGCCAAAAUUAACAGCUAUUCAUCUCCCAUGAUAAUCCACACUAGCUUUCCAACAUUCCAACUGCCAUCUCCUAAGUUAUCUCCGCCAUUCAUAGACCAUUGGCAUGGGUGGUGGUUGUCGUUUAUGUGCUUUUGCUUUACUAACUAUUUUAAAUGCAGGUCAGAAGCUUUAUGAUUCAGCUGCAAAGCUUCGACUUCCUGAUUUUCCAGCCUUUGCAUUAGAGUGUCUCCCAAAUCGCAACUCCUUAGUGUAUGGAGUUGUAUGGUAUAGCAGAAGAAGCAUCGACCAUCUUCCGAGGAACACUGUGCUAUGAAGGCAAGUUACAUUUACUGGGCUUCAUACGAAGCUCUUGGUUAAAGAGACUUGAGUUCUGGCCAAUGGCUCACAUGAAAUUGGGAAUAAUAGCACUAGAAAAAGAAAUUUUAGAUUUUAUGAACAUCCAUAUAAUGCAUUAAAAGGGGGGAAAACAGAAAGUUCAAAAGAAGUUGAAACACCAUCCUUCUCAAGUUGUUAAUCCGCUUUAUGGUUUUGGCAAGUCAAGUAUUCUUGUGAAUUGUGUGACUGCCUCAUCUAAAAGCUAUUAUAUGUUUAUUUAGGUAUGUAACACGCCACUCACAUUGGAGCAUCUAAUUCUUUUUCUUAGUCAAGCAUGUGGAAUUAUUUGUCUUUAAAAAAUUUGAACUUUGAGUACAAUUUUUCUACAUAGUUCCAAUCUAAACUUGGUAACAUCUUCAGAGUUUAUUUGGUUCAUGUUGCUUCUAAAUAUUAUUUUGAAAGGACAAAGCUACUUCCCAACUGGUGAGAUAAACGCUCAAAAAUGCUAAGUAUGUAUUUCUUUGGGAUUGUGGGAGUGUAGACUUGAUUGCUUUCCUGUCAUCAGAUAUUUGGUUGACACAUUAUGGAUCGAUAUUUUCUGCAGGUUUUAGUCAAAUAAUGGGGACACUUGUCAAGAUUGGAUUCUUCUGUACAGAAUCUACUCCAAUUUUUAAAAAUGGGAUCAGACCCACACACAGAGAGUUUUUGCUUGGACUUCUCGGAAUCAGUGGAAAGAUUUUGCGUGAAUCAGUAAUUGAUGAAAAAUACAUCACAGAUAGGAUCUUAGCUCUUGAGCAUUGCAAAGACAAGGACACUGCAGUCAAGACAGCAAAAACAAUAAUGUAAGUGAGACAAUUAUUUAAGGUCAAUCAGUUCUACUUGAAGCAUUGAACGAGUAUCUUCUUUAAAGCAAAUAUGUUGGUAUAAAAUGUGAAGUAUUGUUUGUUAUUCGUAAGAAACAUGUUUUGGUUGAAUGAUAAGGGGUUUACUUAAUAUCCAAAUAGCUUUUUGGGAUUUCAAGAGCCUACGGAAAUACCAUCAUCCUGCAAAUCUCCAUUUGAAGUAACAUGUUUGCGCAUGGAAGAGAAAUUAGCAUACUCCAAAACAGAGCAGGUAGUUCUCAUAAUCACUUUUUAUGUCAACUUAUUACAUGCCGGAUUACCACUAAUAUCACUUGUGUCAGGACAUGGUGCUUUUACACCAUGAAGUGGUAGUAGAUUACCCAGACGACCAUGCUGAAAUUCAUAGAUCGACACUCUUGGCAAUGGGAAGGACGGAGAAUGGGAAAACCACCAUGGCCAUGGCUCUUACAGUAGGGAUUCCAGCAGCCACCGGAGCUCUGGUAUUCUUCUAUUUAAUAUUUGCAUAAUGAUCACAAGUAUCUCUGUGUUAUGGAUGAAUCCAUAGUUUACUCGCUUUUGCCAAUUGCAGCUAUUACUUGCAAACAAGAUUAAAGCAAAUGGUGUAUUAAUGCCUAUUGAUCCAGAAGUCUAUGAGCCAGGUAGUUCAGCACCCUUGGUUUCUAAUUUUUGUCUAGGGAGAAAAAAUAUGUGCCAAUAAUGCAUUGCUUGCAUAGAAAUGGAUAAUUCACGUUCACGCUACUAGGGGGAGCCUUGACGUAACUGGUAAAGUUGUUGCCAUUUGACCACGAGGUUACUUGUUCGAGCUAUGGAAACAGUCUCUUGCAGGAAUGUAAGGUAAGGCUCCAUACAAUAGACCCUCGUGGUCCGACCCUUCCCUGGAUCCCGCACAUAGCGGGAGCUUAGUGCACCGAGCUACCCUUUUUUCAAGCAUACAAAUGAACUCUACGUGUGCUUAAGUUUAAAUGUUGUGCCUUUAUUUAUCAUUUAUCAGCUCUGGUUGUAAUUGUAAAAACUGUUGAGUGACAUAAUAUUUUAUUUUCUGUAAAUUUACAGCACUGGAUAUUUUGGAAGCUUAUGGUUUCAAGUUGCUGGAGAAUAUUGAAUAAUCAAUAAUGACAUUUAAUUUGUACAAGUUGGUUCUGGUAUUUACCAAUUUGAUAUCAAAAGCCUUUUUUUCUUAAGGGCUUCAUAUUAAUGUAAAGAGUUCUGAUUAAAGAAAAUAAAGUCGUAUAUUAUAUACGAACUAGGUAAAGUGCCCGCGCUUCGCGCUAAGUGAAUUUCUUAAGUUUCUCAUGAUCAUAGGCUAAUAUUCUCGUUUUCGAGUGAAUAAUAUAUUAUUCCUUUCUCUCUAUUUAUCUUUUCCUAUUUAUUCAUCAUUUGACUUAUUCCCUUUUAUGCAAGGUCUAUACAUAAUCUAAGUGUUAUGCAUCUUAUUGUUUUUGUUGUUUGGUUGACAAAGUUAAUUGAAAUACAAAAACACGAUCUCUUUGAAGUUUCUUUUUCAAUUUCUUAAGAAACUGCCUGAAAGUUGUUAUAUUAUGACUCGAAAUAAAUAGAGUUAAUGAUCAAAAACACAUGUGAAUUGAUGUUCUUUUUUUCUAUCUGAAAUAUUACCAUUUAUGUAUUAGAUCAACUCUCCUCCGAUAACAUGUAGCUAUAAAUCGUAAUAAGCAAACUAUAGUUAUAGAGCCUAAUUGAGUUAUUUUUAGUGGUUAUAUGUGAAAAUUCUCCUUUAUAAUACUCUAUUUUAUUUUUAUUUUUAUUUUUUAAUUUAUCUCACAGUCCGACCCAAUCUUUAUUACUCAAGCCCCACAAAACUUAUUCAAACCAAUCUAAAACACUCUUUUCUUUCAAAAUUUUGAGCUCAGCCCUAUUAAAUCAUAGGUUAGACCAAACCAACACAACAAACCUAAUUCAUAUUGAGGAUUCUAGCCAUAAGUAAUUCAUGAAUGCCUAUGUACAAUGUAAAAGAAAGAGUGAAAUUUCUAUUUUGAACUCUAAUAACUCACAACAAUCAUAUUGCAACAUAGCCUAUCUUUUACAUUAGUUUUUCUAACCUAAAUAGAUUAUACCAACUAAUUAAUAUUAAUCAAUUAUUUAAAUGAAUCAUAAUCCUACAGUAACUCUUAACAAAGCGUUCAAUUAGUUGAAAGAAUCUUAAUCCUAAAGUGAUUCUUUAAGCUAACUUAACAAAAUUGUGUAAACAAAAGUUAUUUCGUAGUUUUUUUUCUUUCAAAAGUUAAUUGCUUAAACAAUUUUUCCACAAUUAAUUCAUAAUUUGAGAAAAAAAAAUAAAAGGAUGAUUUUGUCUAAAACAAAGAGUUUUAAUGAAGGAAAAAGGCUUAAACAACAUUUCUAAGGAUCUUCGUGCUUUUAAAAUAGUAUAGACGAUAUAGAUAGAUAUUUAGAAAAUUAUUAUAGCUAUUUAUACUUUAUUUAUCAAAGUAUUCCUCCGGUACUUUUUAAUUCUUUCAGAUUCAACAAAAAAAAAUCAGUAUGUUUAUUUUUUAACGUACACACGUCCAUAAACUAGUACUUUAUGAAAGUUUGUUUUAAAAUUUUAAAUUCAAUGCUAUUGCAUACUAAAAAACCACGUGAAUUUUCAAUGGAUUUGUUCAAAUAGCUUUUUCGAGGAAUAUUAAUUCGAUCGAAAAUUCUAUAUAUUUGGCGGACCUCUUUCAUCAUCACAAAAAUAUUGCAACACAAGUAUUUCUUUAAAAAUUUUUCGUAACUAUUGAAGUCCAAAAGAAAAGAAUAAUGAACAUAAAUUACAAUCGAUUUCAUUUAUUAUAUUUAGUACAAAAAAUAGUUUAGAUGAUACACAGGAAAAAAAGAAUCUACUCUCUCUCCAUUCUUAAAUCAAGAAAUUGAUAUUAUAAUAAGAUUCCAAAAUAAAAGCAUAUACAUUACCUAGUUAUUAUAAUAAAUAAAUAAAUAAAUAAAAAAAGAUUGACAAUAUAAUACGGUAGCUUGACGAUUUUUAUGAUGUAAUCAAUCAACUAUACCUCAAUCAUUCUCAAGAACAUAUUUAGAUGGAAAAUAAAUAUAAUUUUUAAUCAAUUAAAUAAAUGGAACUUCCAUUCCCUUCUAAGCUUUCCAAAUUGUUUGUACCGCUUCUCACUUCAGCAGUAUUCCUUUGGAGAGAUCAAACUUUCUAUAUAGUUAACGGCCAUGCCAAAUACAGUAGUGGUAAUUUCUCUUAUAUUUUCAUUCUUCAAAUUGUAUACAACUAAUUUUUCGUCAUAAUAAUAUCUCAUGAGAGCUAUUUCUCUUUUUUUUUUGUCACGAAAAAGAGCACUGAAAAUUGGUACCAAGCACUUAUAUCUAAAUUCUUUAUUGUAAAUAAAGAUGUCCACGAUUUCUUUUCUCUGUAUUCCUUCAUGAUCAAUAUUUCAACACUACCCUUAUAAUUUACUAAUCGAGCCAUACAAAGACACUCAUAUAAAACUCCUAAACCAACUAUACCAUUCUCUUUUAUACUAUAUCUAGGCUCCGGGGUCGGAAAUAUAUGAAACUUUUCAGAAUUGGGAUCAAAAUAUAUUACUUGGUUAAAAGAAUCAACAUCGUAUUUUUCUACCUGUAUCCUAUAGUGAAGUCGUCCAUGCAAUGUAAUCCCUUCACUUACUGAGGAGAUAUCAUAAGGGAAUUCGAGUUCCCUCCAUUGUUUCUCUUCAAGACUAGCAAUUAUAACAAACUCAUCAGCAUCAACUCGGCCUGUAUAUUCCAUAAUCAACACUACCUUGUAAAUAUUCAUCGAGGAGUCGAAACAAAGACCCCCACGUAUAUUACAAUCAUCUUCCAAUUGGUUGAGCUCAAGCACUUUGAUGUAAAAUCAAAUGGCAGGAUUCCACAAGUAAAUAUGCUCAUUUAUACUAAUCAGUAUAAGACCAUGACAAGAACCUAAAAUCAUUGAACUUGGAAAAAAAAAUCUCAUCAUCAUGACUUAGAGGGUAAUUGAGUUCUUCCACAAUGAGUUGUUGUUUUAUUAAUUGAAAGGAGGGGUUAGAGUUCCAUGUUGCGUUGACAAUUGCUCCUUCUUCUCGUCGUUGAUUUGAGAGAUGAAAAUUUGGAUUUGAAAUCCAACAAUGCCAUGACCGUAAAACAUACUUGAAUCGUAAUAGAGCUUUCACUGGUAAAACAAAAAGAAUUAUCAUAGUGAUUUCAUCGGGAAGAUACACCAUUUUGAGAAGUAAAACUCUAUUAUAUAAAAUAAUAAUAGAAAAAUAGUAGAGAUUGUUAUUCUCGAGAAUUGUGAUGUAAGAUACCAUCAUAUUUAAUUAUUUAUAGUCUAUAGUAGUUGAACAAAACUUGUUCUCCAACAAAUUUAUCUAAUAUAAUUUUCAGUAUCUUUUAAUUUUUUUUUUCUAAACUUAAUUUCUAUUUAUUUUUUUCCGGAAAAGGUUGUUAUUUUAACUAAUAAAUAUAUUAGCAAUUAAUUGAUAGGCUUAAACUUAGGGAUUUCAGUUGUAGAUUUUUAUUUUUAUUUUUUCUAUAUUUUUAGGGAAGGUUGUUAUUUUAACGUGAUAAAAGAUAUAGAGUAAUUAGCAAUAACUCUAACAAGAUUAACUUAUAUCCAGGGUGGUGAAAUGACUAUUUUAGGCUGUCAGAAAUUCUUAAGGCGUAUAAAUUAUAUAAUAGGUAAGAUUCUCAAUUAUUUAAUUUUUAUAUAUUAUUAUUUAAAUAUAAAUAAGAAAAGAGUAGUCUAAGACAAUUUGGACUCUAAUUAUUAAGUGUCAAAAACACACCUAAGCUAUUCUUUUUUUGAGUUUCAUAUAUAUUGGGAGUGUGGGUAUCAUAUUUAACAUUUUAUUUUUGAAAUAAAUAAUGUUUUGUCUAGUGAAGUGUGAUGGUGAUAAUUUUUAAAAAAAAAUUGGGACAAAAGAAACGUAGUAUACGGUUGGUAUAUGUUUUUAUAUCUAUCUUCUAAAUGCAUUUUUUUUCAACAAAGUUUAAAUGAAAAUGUUCUACUUUUUAAAAUCGGUAUCUUCAAGUAAUUUGUGAUCACGGACUUCAAUAAUCACAAAUGAUUAAAUUCAAUCCUACAACUUGUAACAAUUCUAUUACAAGACAAAACUAAGCAAUAACUCUAUUGCCCACUAUAUUAACUAACUUUAGUUAAUCAUAGACUUUAAUCAAACACCACUAUGGCCAACUCUAGCCAUGAACUCCACGUAAUCAAAAUACAACUAAAAUGAUCUAUGAUCCUUUAUAACACAUGAAUAGAUCUUACAAGGCUAGGGUACAAAACACAACUCAUAGCAAAACCGCUUAAAACUUUUUCUCAAAUAAUUACUUUAUUAGGUACCUUGUUGUUCUUGUGAGCUUGUUCUUGUUGGAGAGUCUUUCGCUUUUUCAAAAACUUGUUAUGCAAAAAUUAGGUUGUUUCUUAUCAAAAUGUCCAAUAUAGAAUGUAUAACAACAAUCUAGUGAAGCGCCAUUGGUGGAGAACUCUGCCCCUCUUCUGUCAUGUCCACCUACAACAUCAGGUGUGAUAACUUUACAAGUAUUUACUUUGAUAUAAUUUCUAAAUAUUUCUUAUACCUUUUUAUAAUUUUUAUCUUUUAACAUAUUAUUUCAAGUUAUUGAGACUUAAAAUUUUGAAUAGUCCAAUAAAGGUUAUUGUUCAUAGAUAUUAGUAACUCUAAUAAAGCUCAAAACAAAAUCAAAUCAAUAUCAAUUAAUGCUAAAAUAUAUAUAUAUAUAUAUAUAUAUAUAUAUAUUAUAUUCAACACUAAGAAUGAAAAUAAUGUUGAAUAUUUAUUUUUAGUUUUACAUUGAUUUAGACAUUUAAAAUACAUAACCUAAUUUUAAUUUUUUUUAAUGUUGAAUCAUGUGUAAUUAAUAAUUUAGACAUUUAAAAUACAUAACCUAACUUUAAAUUAUGAUAAUUUUCAUUAUGACUUAUUAAUUUGCAAUAUUUAUUUUAUGUGAUUUCAUUAUUAUUUUUUAUUAAAUAUUUUAGUGUUAUCACUCAUCUCAUAUUUUGUGUUAUUUUCUUAAGAAUAACUUUAGAUAGUUGUAAUUUGAUAGGACUAAAGAAGUACUCCAUCUGUUCCUAAUUACUUGUCCACUUUUCCUUUUUUAGUUGUCCCUAAUUACUUGUCCAUUUUAACAAAUCAAGAAAGGACAAAAUACUUUUACAUAUUAUACCCUCAAUUAAUUACUUUGAAAAAGCUAGAACUUCUUGAGAAUCUUAAAUUUUAAUUUAUCCACUUCAUAAUUAAUAGGGGUAAAAUGAUAAACUCACUAUAUCAAUAAUUGUUUUCUUAAUAGGUGUGCCAAUUCAAAAGUGGACAAAUAAUUAGGGACAGAAGGAGUAUUUGGAGCACAAGUUAAUUACAUGUUUGUAUGAAUACUUUACCCAAAAAACUCAAAAACACAAAAAAAAAAAACCAAAAAAAAAAAAGAGGUUGAAAAUUUUGAAUUUUAUUAGUUUAAUUUGAAUGAUUGAAAAUUCGACACAAAUUAUUUGAUUUGAUAUUUAGAAAACUUGAAUCAAUCCACGUGUACACCCCUAAAAUCCUAUUGUUUUAGUGAAGGAUAGAUUCAUCAUCCUAAAGUCUCAAACCUAGUGUCACUAUCCCUCAGACCUUUUGCAAUUAUCCAAGAAAAAAUGGGGGAAGUACACAAAUAACUUAUUUGAAAGUCACUAUGUAAACAUAGCUCAAGUAUUCAAUUUUUUUUAUAUGUUUAAUACCCCUUAUUUAAAAUAGAUAAGCAUUACAUUAAAAACAUCCUUAAAUUUGACACAAAUUAUUAGUUUCAUUGUCAAAUUAUUGACAAUCUUAAAAACAUCUUUCCUACUUGACUAAUUGAACCUAAAUAUAUCCUCAAUCUGUCACAUGGUAUAACAAGUAUUUUCAUACUCAUGUAGGAGCAUGCGACUCUUAAUAAGAAAACACUCUUGAACUUUGCGAGAAUUAUUAGUUUCGCCCCCGAACUAUUGACAACCUUAAAAACACCACUCUACUUAACUAUCUGAACUUAAAUACACCCCUGAUCGUACCACAUGGAUGAAAUAACAACUCCACCCUACCAGAUUUUUUUCCUAUAAUUUUUUCACCAAAAAUAAUAUACCCACAUUAUGACCUAAUUUUUUUAAAAAUAAUCUCGUAAUCAUAAUUCUUAUAAUAAAUAUUUAUAAAGAUUAAUACAAAUAGUUGGAAUAUGUUUAAUAAAGAAUUUUGUACUAAAUUAUAAUUUGAGAUUGAAGACUGUAACGACAUUCCUACAAUUACAGUAAAUUCAAGGUUAACUAAUUACACUCCUUUAAUUCCUUUAUGAAUAUCUCAUAAUUAAGACACAACACUUUAGAAGAAGCUAAAGGAUUCAUAAAUCUAAAAAACUGGUGGAAUAAUUGAUGUCAAAGAUCCAUAGUUGGUCUUUGUGUAUUUACGCCAAAGUAAACAAUUUAACAAUAAGUUUUAUUGUUAUGGUUAAAAAAAUUAAACUGAACUGCAAUUCGAACUAAACCGAUUAAAAAAUUGAUAUUUGGUUUGAUUUGAUUUUGAUUUUGAUUUUAUAAAAAUAAACACAAAAAUAACCAAACUAAACGGGGAAAUUAUAUAUAAAAUUUUGAUAAUUAUUAUAUAGUAUCAUAAAUAAAAUAUAAAUAUUUUGUUAAAGUUUAAUUAACUUAAGUUUUUAACUUUAUCAUUUUCUCAAACCCAACACUUAAAUUUUAGCCAAACUUUUAAAAUCCUAAGCACAAGUCCAUCAAAAUCCAUUACUUUAGUUUUUACCUACCCUACCUCAAAUCAGAUAGUCACACUUUCUCUUAAUUGAAUUACUUUGUUUGUGUAAUAAUAACUCUAGUAUUGCAUAAUUGAAUCCACAGUAUCUGGCCUAUGGAUUGUUCAUGUACUAGCUACGUAUAUUCUCAACAAAUUUAUUACUUUCGAAUAGAAAAAAUCGAAAUAACCAAAUCAAACCGACAAAAAUCAAACUGGUGGUUAUUUUUUUCAUUUGGUUUGACUUGAUUUUAGAAAUUUAAAAACCCACUAAAUUGAUUUAAUUUUGAUUUUAAUCAAUAACCAAUCCAUAAACACCAUUUCCAAGGUUCUUGACAACUUUUAUAUAAUUUGUUAACUUUCACAAUAUGACUGUCUUUAUAUUGUGAAUUUGCUUCUAGAUUGGAGGUUGUUUGAGCCGAAUAAGCAAUAUUAUCAAACUGAUUGCAAUUUUUUUUUGUCCGUGAAAAUCUCUCCAAAGCACCCUCUACUUCUUAAUAGGCCAUGAACUAGAUCAGAAUCAUUUUUUAAAUUAUUCCUACUUCAACAACUACAAGUCUACAUUUUUACCCAAUCCACUGAUGAACAUUUCUACCCAAUCUGGGAAGUGGCAUCCACUGAUGAAUGGUUAUACGACGAUGGUCCUUAUGAACUAAUCGUUCAACACUUCUUACUUGACAUAGCUUGUUACAUGGGUCGUGCGUGGGAGCUUAGCUUCUGUCUCUUGUAAAAGUCUUUGCUAAGGACCAGAAAGAAGUGUAUUUGGACAUGCAAUACUUGGAAAGUUUCAAAUACUUUAUCUGAAGUUUGCAAACACUGGGUAUCUUAAAAAACCAAAAUUAACUUAAAUUGCAGAGGGUGCAAUUCCCAUAAAAGAAAAAAGAACACAUACUUCAACUAAAAAAUAAAUUUCUAGAAUAUUGUCUUUACCUUAUGAAUUGCAAGUAGAGUGAGCCCAUCUCAGGCUUCAACUCAAAACUAUCUAAAGAAGUCCUCCUUACUAAGUCACUCUGAAGAUUUUUUAUCUAUACAGAGAAAUAAAGGUUAAAUGGGAAGAUAAGAGAUAUUCUACAUGUCUACCAACUUCUUAACAGCAGAGGCUUAACCCCCCUUUGAUCACCAGGUUUACCAUUGCUUCUAAAUUAUGGAGUCGAAUAGAAAAAAAAUCAAUGCAUUUUCUUUUCUUUCCUUUCCUUUCCUGAGUCUACUUUGGAGAGGAAUUCGUCGGAACUAUCCAUGAAGCUAAUUGAUGCUCCACUUCUCCCCAGUUGUGCACUUUCUUAACCAUGGGAUGCCCAUUAAGUGACGCACUUUUCGACCAUGGGUAUGAAUUUUCAUAAUCAAAUAGAAGAACCUUGAUUCCAACUUCCGCGCACUCAAUAGCAUACCUCGGAUUGUCAUCAAUCAAAACAUUUGCUCCCAGGGACCUAGCACAACCAGUUAUCUAAAGUUAGUCAAACAGUGUACAUACACAAGUCUUCCACAGGUCUAACAAGACAAUAUAGUGGGACGGAGAAUAUGGUCUUCUAGCUAGAUACAAAAACAAGAGGGGCAACAAUCGUCUGCUUUGUAACAUUAUGUGAAAAAACUGAAAAUGGUGUAUCUAAGGUCGUCUGCUUUGUAACAUUAUGUGAAAAAGACUGAAAAUGGUGUAUCUAAGGUCAAACAACUUACAAUAACAAGAGUUAAAGAGGCCUAAGGAAUAUAAUUUUGUAAGUUAGCUAGAUAUCAAAAUGGAUGGUGGCAUCAAUCUUCUGCUUAUGACAUUAUCUGAAAAUGGCGAGGCAUUGCAGAAAAAUAGAACAAAGAGAAAGCAAAAUGCAAAGGGCGAUUGAUAACAUAUACCUACAAAUAUCUGAUUUGGCUAUUGACUGCCCAUUCAGCGCAAAGUGAUUCCCGAAGUGCAUUUCCUGAAACAAACCUGGAUAAUGCCUCUCAAUCCACUCAAUCGUAUGAUCUUUGAUGGCAUUUUGUCGGGACCUAUAAAACAUUGGUCAAAUUAGUUCCUAAGAAAAUACCCCAUGCAAAAGGUAUCAAUUAAUUGAAGCAACCGAAGGGUCCUCAAAUUACGUACGUCACAAUUGAUAGAUUACAGAAUCUAGACAACUUUUGAAGAGUCUGUUGAGAACCGGGAAUUGGAUGAAUUCCGGUCUUGAAAUAAGAGGUCUUGAAGAAUUCAUGGACACGGAUAUCAGCUGCCACAAUAUUUAUGUAAAGUUAAAAACAGAAAUGUUGUCGGACCACAAAUGCAUAACCUUGAAUAACAAUAUAACAUACACAAAUAUCCCAUAAAAAAACAAAAUGAAUGCAUUGAAGGAUCAAAAUCAAAUUAAUCUGAUGCCAUAUGUCUAAAGAAUUGCAGCAGUCCACACCCAUCAAGUUUUCAGUUAUCACUACACUAGAAAACAAACAGCAUACAGUCUGUUUAUUUAAACUUUAACAAUUUCAGUUGCCAAUUGAAGUCUUUUCUAUAGUCAAAGUAUUUAUUUUUUCUUGAUUAGUCAAAGUAUUAUAAAUGUCAAUUAAAAUUAAGAAGAGCAAUAGAAGUAAGGGAACAGGAAACAAAGGCGCGGCAAAACAAUACAUUCAGAACGCACCAAGAGUGAUACUUGCUUGGAGGAAUAGAGGCAAGAAGAGCAUACACAGAAGUAGAAACAUCCAAGAAGAGAAAAAGAAGCAGGGUUGGAGCCAAAACAGAGAAAAAAGUGGCACAUGAGAAGUAGAAGACAAAAAAGAAGAGAAGAGUGCAGGGCGGAAGAAGCAAUAGGAGAUAGCAAAGCAAAAACUGCAGAAGACGAGAUAGGUAAACUAAUCCAAAAGAUGAAGAAAGAAAGAUGGAUAACUGUACUUGUAUGCUGGAGUGUAGAACAAGCAGUUAGAAGUUGGGAGCAUUCAAAGUUGAAGCCUGGAUGGCAGACAGACAAAGCCGCAAAGGAUGCAACCGAUAUGACCGAAGGCCUUAAUCCUCUCCUUUUCUGUAUCCCUUUGCAAGCGAACCAUAGCUUAGAAAAUGACACCAAUUAUAGGACACCACACUGAAUGUCUAUGUGCUUUGUUGCAAUCACUUUUCACACUAUUACCGAUAAUCUCUUUCAGGAAAUCCAUUCCUUUUAGCGUCUCAUUUCAGUUGUUUGGGGAGGAGGACUGUUAAUCCCUUAUAUGCUAGCAACCUAACUUAAAGAGUGAAGCAAUUUGUCUAUGAAAUCUUCCAAAUGCAGGGUCCUGGAUCAGAUAAUAUAGUGAUCAUAAAAGAUCGGAAAGGUAAACUUCACAGUAGGUCAUCUUUGACAGAGUUUUCAGCAUUGCAGAAGCAUUACUUUCAAUCUAAUUGGAAAAAGUGAGACUAAAAUGAGACCAAAAGGAGACAAUUUUAUCAAUGGAAGGAACUUGGCCAUAAUAGCAUACGGAAGGAAAAAAAUAACAGAGCUUAGUCACAUUGACAACAAUGGUGUCCAACAAUUCCACGGGGUACCUGUUAUCUCUCACCAGCACGAGGGACUUCUAAUUUAUCCCCUUGUAUGCUAUUACACUAACUUUUAGUGUGAAGAAAUUUCUCUAUCAAAUCAGCCAAAUGCAGGGUCCUGGAUAGAUAAUAUAGUGAUCAUGUAGGUAAGGUGAUAAAAGAAUGCCGAGAGACUAAAGUGAGACCACAAUGACAAUUUUAUUAACGGAAGUAACUUGGUUAUAAUAGCAUAUCAGGGGAAAAAAAGGAGCUUAGUCACAUUUUUUGUGAAAAUGAUGGUAUCCAACUAUUCCAUCCAUGGGGUACCUGCUAUCUCUCAAUGGUACCCGAUAAUUCUGCCCAUCGAGGCUUCAGCAAAUGGGAAAAAUUCACCUAUGGUUUAUGGCCUCUAUGCUAGAUAUAUUUUUCAAAGACCACCUGGUACAUAUGUCACAAAAGGGAAAACAUGGUGGAGAACAUAAAUCUUAGCCUCCCUCUACUAGGGUUUGAAUCCUGGUCUCCAAGUUUUCCCCUUAAUUGACUGCUAAGCCACACCCUUGGGUGGAACUUAGUAGUAAUAUUAUGACCAAAAUAAAAUUAAAAAAUCUCACUCCAGCUUAAACUGUACCCUAAAUGUCAUCACCACUUUAUCACAGAUAUCACAAACACGAGCAUGCCAAAUACCUCCAAUCUGAAGUGGAUAAACAAAAGGAGAGCAAAAGUUGGGAAAACACCUUGAAAUAGUUGCUUCUACCUAAAUAACUCAACUGAAAGGAAAGACCCAAUAAUACCUUCAUCUCUUGAGCACUUCCAUAUCUGCAAUGAUUAGAGAAAAGGUAGCUCAGAAAAGUACAACGUUGCAGGAGAAGGGAUAUAUUAAGGUAACCAAACAAGUGAUACCUCCUCAGUUACAACAGCAUUUCGUAAAUUUCACUACCAUUUCUUUGUUUACCAAUUUAACUCUUUUGAUAGGUAAAAGUGGAUUAAUCGUUAAUACCAAUUAGCAAUCAAGUAGAGGACCAUUUGCGAAAGAAACCAAUAAAUAUACACAAAAGUCAACUUACAAAAAAAAUGAAAACACAGAACCCAAAAUGACCUCCUUACCAAAAUAUAUAAUUCCUAGCAACACAUCUAUCUUCCUGGAUCCAAACUAAAACCUUUUCACCUAGAUUACUUCCAACCUAAGUUGCUCGGACUCUCCUAAAAUGUUGCCACACCCGUGUUGGAUCCUCCAAAAAUGCACUGCGUUUGAAGGAUCCGACACGCACCCGAUGACAUUUUUGAAGAGUUCGAGCAACAUAGCUUCCCACUACCAUAAUUUAAACCACACUUUAAAGUCUUAAUUCGGACUGUUAUCUUGUACUUGAUCUCUUUUUGUUGUUCUCUUAGUUUGCCUUCUAGCCAUGUUGCAUCAAUUUUUCAUGACUCCUUGCCUAUCUUCACUUCCACCCCAAGAGACUUCCAAAGUUGCCCAAUAUCUGUCUGUCAUUUAGUCUUUUGCGUUCUUUCCACUACAAUUAAGGAUAUUGUCAAAUCAUGUAAUUCAAACUUCAUAUUUGACCCACUUGCCAAAUCUUCCUUGCAGCUCCAUCAUAACAAGUACCAGAAUCCCAAUAACUACUUUGUCAUCUUAAGUGUAUCUACUGAGAUUCUUGAACGCCUGUGCUCAUGUUGAAUUGUUAUUCAUCUGCCACCUUCUUCUCAUCCUGCCUCUAUCAAUUUUGAAUUGAGAGAGGGAGAAGCAAGCCCACCAUCACAGCAGGAUGGAGAAUGGGAUUGAACUCUCAACUUUAUUUUAUAAAGGAGGACUGAACUCUCAAUUUAACCUUAUAUUUGAUAUGAUAUCUUCUCAUCCAUCUGUCCUAUAAAAAAAUAGUUCUCCUUCCCUUUUUCGAACUUCAUCAAACUGUGUCCACUUCCCUAAAAGACUUAAUACUACAAAAAAAAAUCAUGUGGCACCUAUUUUUAUAUAAUAAAUUAUUUCUUGUACUCUUAGAUAGAUCAGGCACCAGGAGAUUUAGCACUCCAACUUCUUUUUUUAAUUCUUACAAAAAACAAAAGUAAUCAAAUUGUCCAUUUCCCAUAUCAAUAGUAUAUAAAUAACAUUAUAAAUCUUCUUCCAAAUUGGGUAGGUGUUCUCAUCAGUUCCAUCAAAUGAUUGGACGAUAUAGGUAAAACCAUUCCAGGGCGCUGAGCUUUUAGUUAUAUUCAGUGUUAUCAAAGGUGAAAAGCACCAAAAGCCAUAGUCAUCUUGUGAGAUACCAAACAAAACACAACACAAUUGAUAAGCAUGGUACCUUGAAGAACUCAUAUACAUGAUACUCGGACACCGAAUGAUAUGAUGAGUAACGAUCUGCAACAAAUUCGUUGAGGGCUGAAACAAAGUUCCCAAGGACUGCAAACCAGCAAAUAAAAACAGAUAAGGAUGACAGGUGAGCACACAAUCAUUUCAUAUUUAGAAACAUAACACAAAUUUCUAAAAAAUAAGAAUUACAAGGAAAAGAUAGUGAAUGAAAAUCAGAACCGCCAAUAUUAUGUGGAUAGGACAAGUAAGUUUGCAAUCAUAUGUGUUUUAGAUAAGCAGGAUUACAGAACUACACAAAAAUGUUGAUAGUGUACUAUUAGGGUUCAGCAUCUAUGUAUAUGCAACUUUUCAUCAAAAGGGGUUUCUUGCUAGCUACCCUGAUGCAGGCAUUAACCACAAUUGUAACAACCCUACAUUUAAAGGGAAAGUUUAGUUUCAAGUACCUUCAUCAACAUCAACAGCUACAACGAUUUUAUCAUGUAAAUCCUGGUUAAAGAAUCCAGCGGAGCUUCCUCUGUGAGAUGGAUCAUUGUUAGUGUCAGAAUGCUUAGUAGCACUACUAGUACUAGCUUCCUCCUCAUCAUGUACCAAAAUCGGAUGAGGUGGAGCAAAAACCUGAAAUCCAUUCAUAUACUUAUUGUUGCUACCCGCACAACUUAUAUUUGAAUCAUUAGAAGAAGAAGAAGAAGAGCAACCCCAAAGCCUGAGACCCAUCGCCGCCGCAUUGUUAAAAGGGUAUUUUCCUCCACCACCCUUUGGAUCAAUGGAGGUAGAUAAAAACUUAACACAUGACAAAAUCUGAUUAUACCCCUUGUUAGAUAAUACAAAGGAAGAAUCUUUAGGUCCAACGGAAAAGGUAGAUGAUGUAAACGCCAUUAAAGAAUGAAUCCACCAAUUUUGAUGAUCAACACUAAAUAAACGCUGCACACACCUUCCCCUGCUUAUCAUAACGAUACUAAAAAGGAUACCUUUCCACACAUCUAGCAAAAACUCAAGAAAAAAAAAAUGAAAACACCAGACAAUGUCCUUAUGUUUGUUUACUUCCCAAUUAGCUUUUCAAAUGCAAAAGAGGAUUUUUAUCAACUCCAAGAAAAAGGGGUUUUCAUGCGAAGGAAAUUAAUUGUGUGAAUAUCGAAAGAAACCAUAUACAAUUACAUGUCUAGCAACAAAGGGAGUUGCAAAAUUACAGGUAGAGAAGAAUUCAGCCCUAAUAUCCAGGGAAUUCAUCAAUUGCCCUAGCCCAGUAUGGCUGUCAUUCGGGUCGGGUUUGGAGAGGGGAAAUGAUGUUCGGCCCAAUUUUCUACCUCAUUUAGCGGGCUAAUCGGGUCGGAGUGAGUUUUUAAUUAUUUUUUUUAAAAAAAAUAUUUGUAUAUAUAUAAAAGAGAACCCUAGGCCCGCUUACGUGGCGCCACCACAAACCAGGAUUCUCUUUUAAUUUAAUUAUUUCCAAAACUAGUUUUCCCAUUUCACGAAAAGUUGUGACUUUUAUGAAAAUUUGCAACUUUUAUGAAAAGUUGCGACUUUAAUGAAGAGUUGCGACUUUAAUGAAUAGUUGCGACUUUUAUGAAAAAUUGUGACUUCUAUGAAAGGUUGUGACAUUUUCGAAGGGUUGCAAUUUUUCCAAAUAGUUGUGACCUUUCCGAUAAGGCAUAAUAAAUAUUUGUUCACACUACCCUUUGUUGUCUAUAAAUAGAGGGAUUUCCUCUCAUUUAAAAAAAAACCAAAAUUCUGAACUACUACUACUACUUCUUCUUCUUCUGCACAAUUAAAUAUUCAUGUACUUUGCUCCUGUUGAGUGGCUCACUACUCCAUUGCUUAUGCUACAAAUACUAGUAUGUAUUUUUACAGUCAUUAAUUUAUGUUUAUAUUAUUAAGGAUAAAUGAUAAGAUAAUAUACUUUUUAUUUUCUUUUACACUAUUAAUGUUUGUUUCUAUGUAAUCUUGUAUGUAAGAUAAUAUAGUGUUUUAGUUUUAUUGACCGAUAGAUUUUAAAUAUUAUUUUAUAAAUUCCGUGAUAUUAAACUCUCGCUUAAUUUUACUAGUAUAUAAUUAAUAGGAAGAAACUUUAACAUAUAUGUAAGUCGCAUGGCAGCACAAUAGAAAUACAUAUGUAAGUUUAAGACAACAACUUGUUAAUUAUUUAAUUACCUUUUAAUUUUUUUAUAGCUUUUACUUAAAAACAUAUCUUAAGAAUUACCUUUUUUCACAUUUUGAGUUUCUUUUUAUACUAGUAUUUAGGUAUUUUUAAUAUUUUAAACAUUGUUUUUAAGAAAUAGCAAGUUGUGCUAUUUUACUUGCUUAGUGCGGGUUACCUCUCCUACGUAGUUUGCGAGCUAUUGCAUAGGAGCGGGGGUUUUACCUUGUGCGCACCUAAAGAAUAGCAGCUGCGGGUUUCCCUUGUCAUAAAAAAAAUAAAAAAAAUACUUACUUUUAUAUACAUUUUUAGGUUAUUGAAUUUGUUAACUUGUUUAACAUUUUAAACAUUUUUUUCUUAAUCAUGAUGAUGGUUAUUUAUUCAAUCUAAUUUGAGUUUCUAUUCCUAUAAAACAAUUUAUAUAGAUUAUAAAUAAUUUUUUACCACAUUUAGGGCUCCUUCUUUAAAACAAUUUGACGGAUUCCUGUAAAACAAUUUAUAUGGUAAAUAACAGAGUCCUAUUUCUACAAAAUAAUUUAUAUUGUAACUAACAGAGUCCUAUUUUUAGGUGUUAUGAGGAUAUAUUUUUUCAAUUUUCUAGGGUUUGCUAAUUAAACUUAUUUAAAUGAGAAAACAUUUGAUUCCAAAAUACAUAAAAUUUAAUCGCGGUAAAUUAUUUUUUAUGAAGACUUUUAAGAAAUACAGUUUCAGAGCAUGUUUGUAACACCUCGUAUCCGAAACAAACCAAAAAAAUGCAGAUUUUGAGAAGUUGAAGGUGCAACCCACGGUUGCCAUCCACGGACCGUAGGUCAGACCACGGCCCGUGCUGGUGGUCAGUGGUUCACCACUGCAACCCCUCCCCAACCCAGCUAAGAAAAUCGGCUAAGUCUCGACUCACGGACAGACCCACGGUCCGUAGAUCAGACCACGGUCCGUGGUCUGUGUCCGUGGAUCGAAGCUCCCUUUACCCAGCCUUUGACGCAAAUGACGACCAAACAGCACGGACCGUCGUUCGAUCCACGGUCUGUAGGUCUGACCGUAGGUGAGGGUCAACAGCCAGUUAGAUGAAAAUUGUUGAGUGAGUCAACUUCAGAUGGUCAUAACUCUUAUCACAAAAGGAAUUAUGUGUCCCAUGACCUAUGAUAUGAUAGAUAAUUGAAUCCUCUUUCCAACGCCACCGAGUUUGCUAAAAUCUGACCUCCGAGUAAAAAGUUAUGCUCGUUUUAGUAAAGCCCUGUCGGGCAGACUUGACCGACGAUCUCAAUCUACGAACCGUAGAUUGAAUGACGGCCCGUCAGUCCCGUCUAUCAGUUACUCCGACAGCAGUUAAGUCAGGGGUCUUUUGGUCUUUUCCUAUCUCGUUGGACCCCUAAGAUACGUCGUUUAGACCCUAAAUCAUGAGGUUUUAGUCAGUAUAAGUCUAGAAACAUAACUAGAACUUAGCUAAGUCAAAUCAUUAAUCAAAACUUAGAAAAAUUAGAGCGUAAGAAGGAGAAAAGAGGUCAAGAACCCUAGUUCAAGAACGCAACAAGUUUCCUCCAGUUCCAGCCCUAAAAUCGCAGGAUUUCUCCGUGGAAUUCGUCACCAGGUAUGUGGGAUUUCACUAGUGGGUUCCUUUCACCCAUUAGGUCCCUAGUUUUCAGUCGAUUUCUUGAUUCUCUUACUAUGAACAGACGUAUGGUUUCUAGAAUUUCAGCAGAUUAUCAUGAAUUACCUAUGAAUAUGUCCCAAAUCAGAUUAUCAUGUUUGUACUCAGUUUAUUGCAUGAAUUUCAGAACCCUAGUUAUGUAUUUCUUUAGUUCUUGAAUUACAUAUGCUAGGUUAGAUAUUUCAGCUAUUCAGAUAUACAUGCUCCAGUUUGAACGCCACAUUAUCAGUAUAUUUCAGCAUAAACCCUAUUUUAGUUAUAAAUCUUGAGAAGUUUCUUUUAAGACAACACUUGAGUUUUAAAUUGAAUUUUUGAGAAAGUUAAGAUGAGUUUUGAGAAAGAGCUUCUAAAACAUGAUUAGUAUGACACUCGAGUAGGUCAUCAAUGUAUGAGCAGUAUGGUAUCUAGAUAUACCAUCAAUGUUUAUGCAGUAUGACUUCCCAAGUCAUCAAUAAUCAUAGUAUAAUAUGAUUUUGAAUUGUUCUCUAAGAAGGAGUUUUCAAGUAUGAGUAUCUACAUGUCAGUAUUUUGAGUUAUUCAAUAUUUCAGUCAUAAUGUAUUCAGUUAUACAUGCCUCACUUUAUGAAUGCAUCGUUAUCAAAUUAAUUGUUGCAUUCUCAGAUUGCAUGUUCAGUUUUGAGCUAUCCAUUAUAUACAGAAACUCAGUCAUAAUGUGUUAACUACUUAAUCUAUUGGGAGUAGCAUAAUACCGAGUUGGACUAGGGUUUAGCGUACCCAUAUAGUCCCAGAACUACGAGCCACGUAGGUGUAAGUCCCCUCUGUGGGCAAUAUCAGUUAGUGAUCACGCCAUUCAUGCCUCUAUACCUUUGGUUGGGUAUAUUGGGUCCUCUCGAUGGGGCGUAUACAUCGGACUCCACAUUUAGCUCAUAUGGUUUUAUUGUCGGUUAUUAGUAGCUCCCACAGUUCAGUCAGAUUCUAUUGCAUUGACCAUUUAUCAGUAUAUCCAGUAUUUAGUUUCAGCAUGUUAUAAAUUGGUCACUGCAUUCAGUUAUCUCAGCAUUCAGUAUCUAUAUCAUGUUCAAAUUAUUUCAUUGUUUUAUUGCUUUGUUCAGUUAUGAUGUUAUUUCAACUUUACUCUAUCCUGCAUGCUCAGUACCUUUCAAGUACUGACGCAUACGUGCGCUACAUCUUCUCGUGAUGUAGGUUCAUGUUCUCAGCAUCCAGAUCACGCUUAGAUCGGUUCUCGAUCUUCAGUUCAGCAGCAUCAGUGGUGAGUCCUCAUUCUUCGAGGACUAGUGACAUGUUUAUCUUUAUCGUUUUUAGUCCUUUAGUUUCAGUUUUGCUAGGUCUAGUUGGGGCACGUCCCAACAUUUCUAGUUUAGAGGCUUAUUUCAGACAUAGUUAGAUUCAACUUAGUAUUGAGUUAAUAUCUUCUUUGUAUUAAACUCAUCAGUUUUCAUUUAUCUCAGUUAUAGUAUAUGAGUAUUCCCCAUUUUUUCAUUUUUAUUUAUGAUUUAGCUUCCGCAUCAGUUUAUUAUCUUUAGUAUGCUCAUGAUCAUGCCAGAAGGGUUAGCUUGGGAUCACUUGUGGUCCUAGGUCCCGUGUCCGCGUCUCGGGGUAGUCUCGGGGCGUGACAAUGUUCCUGUAACUUCCACAUUUAUGAAAGUUAGAACUUCCAUUAAUUGUCCACUACCACAUUGAUGGAAGUUACCUACAAUUAUAUAUAGUAUUCACUUGUUUUUUUACUUUUUUACACUUCUUAGAGUUCAGUAUUUUUAUUUUGUUUCAUUUUAUUUAAUAGAAUAAUCAAUAAUGGUGGCUAUUUGUGAUUUCAUUAGCGAAAUUAAGAGCAACUCAAUGUGCUAGAAAUUAAAAUUUCGUAAACACAGAUCGCUAUCGACCUGAUUGUCCUUUUUCUAUUGAGGUUAUUCUGAUGGAUGAAAAAGUGUUUUUGAUAAUACUUACACUUGAUUCUAAUCUGUUUUAUAUGUGUGAUUUUUUUUUUAUAACGCUCUAUACACAAUUCAAGUCCUAAUUAUUUAUUUGAUUGAAUGUGUAGGGCGAUCGCAUUCAUGCGAGUCUUGGCAGAUUUCUAUUCUCAAGUUUGAUAGAACAAAUUAAGAAAAUGAGAAUGUACGUCAUUAAGAAUUUAGUGGGCUUUCCAAAUACUAUGAAAUCAAAGAUCAAAGACCACAAGUUUGAAUUGUUAUUCAUACAAAAGACUGUUGUUGAGAUGAUAGAGGAUCCAAAUUUCAGCAUGUUUAUUUUCAAAUUUAAACCUUAUACACAUCUUACAAAUCCACAAGAAUUUGACAACACAUAACUAUUUGGUAAUUAACAUAUUUUUUAUUUUUUUCAAUUAAAUUUUUUGUUUUAUUACAUAAUUUAUAUUUUUUCUAUUAUUUUGUUCCUUAUUCUUACUUCAAUUAUUAUUUAUACCGAAUACUCAUUUAUGUUGUCACUGUUUUGUAAAUAUUAUUGAAGAAGUUGUGAGUUAUGAUAAUGUACUGUGUAUCAAACAAGUGUCUGAAUGUUCAUGAACGUUGACAUAUAGGAUUAUGAGUACACAUGUGUUGUGAACACGGCUGGCCAAGUUGUUGGGCUUGAGGCUAAACCACAAAGAGGCCCAAGAAUUAGACAGCCCAAUACUUGUUUUGCUUGGGAUCUAGGUUGAGUAGACUUUAAAUGGUUGUCAUCUGCGGUUUUUGGAGGAUUAUGCGUAUUAUGAAGAAGCUGCCUUUUCCUCUCAUCUUCUUUCUAGAGUCUUAACUUCUCAUCCCUAUUCUUAUCUCUAUCUUUAGUUACUUGUUAUUUCACUACUUCUCUUUGUAAUUCAAGUGUUGUUAUUAUAAUUUGGUUAUCAAUGAAUAUAAUGUUUAUGUAUCUGUAUUGAGAAAUCGGGUUUGUCUCAUUGGUGCUUUCAUCCAGAGGUGUCUCUAAUGGAGGACCAAUAAGUACUCAAGGCUUUCGUUGAUGAUUCAAUCCUAUAACUAAAGAAUUCUAUCUCUAAAGAUCUCGCUGAAUUUCGUUCAAUGUUGCUGGAAGUUUUGAAGGAAAAGGAUAGGACCUCUUCUGAACCCCUAAACACAAUUAUGGACGCCAAACUAUGGCAGUUUCGAGGUGAGAAUCCGGAGGCUUGGAUAGUCCAAGCGGAGUAUUAUUUCGAUUUCUAUAAAAUUGAGGAAGAUCAGAAGCUUAUGGUGGUAUCGCAUUACCUUGAUGGUGAAACAUUUCAAUGGUACCAGUGGUUAUUUAGGAAUAGUCAAUUAACGAAUUGGCCGCAUUUAGCUGAUAAGGUGAGAAUUCAAUUUAAAGAGAAAGGAUAUGAAUCCGCGGCAGAGAGAUUCCACAAUCUCAGGCAGGUAACCUACGUGACUGAGAACCAAAAUCAUUGUGAGGACAAUUUGUCAAGUUUCGGUGAGUCAGAUGUAUAGGCACACAUAUAUUCAUCCACGAUCGAGUAACAUAACCAACUCACAUGUUCAUGGUGAUCAAUCAGAAUGCAAAAGCAAUACCAAUGCGUGCAAAAUGUUUGAUGAACUGUUUGAUAGGUACGAAGAUUCAAAUCCUCUCGAUACAUCCAACAAGCAUAUUGAACUUUCCAUUGCCCCUAAUGAUCUGUUAAAUUCUUUCUCCCGACUUGUGGUUAAUGGUUGCAAUGAAGAGGCUAAAAAUAAAGAUAAUAAUGAUGAAGAGGACAUUGUUACCAUCAUAGACCAACCUAUAGAAUUCGUUAUUGCAAAUGUGGAUAAGCCUUCAUUAUAUAUUAAUUCUAUCGUAUCUAUUCCCUUUGACCUUGCCAUGUUUGAUGUUCACAAUGUUUUAGAUGAUCGUUGGAAUCAAUUAAUUGUUGGGUACUUCAGAAAAGCUUACCCUCUCGAACUUGUUCAACGUUGGGAGGAGAUGUCUUCUAUUCUUUCUACUUGUAGUUAUGCAAAGCUUAUAAACAGAGGUAUAAUUGAUCUACAUCGUGAACUUGGUCAGGCUAUACUUAUCUUGACUUGGUAUCUAUUUCCACCUGACCAAUUUGGAUUAGAGUUUCCAUUUGAAGUGUGGGACCCUGGACGUUACUUGCUUGUGAAUUCUUACAUUAGUAAAAUAAUUAAAAAAAUAAAAUUCAUGGUGUGGAUAUUAGCGACAUUUUAUUGCAGACAGAUAAAAGUGAUACUAAUGAUUCACCAGAUGAAAGAUCAGAUAGUUUUUGGUUUUGCUUGCACCCAACAAUACAUGACUUGGCGUUGGUACCAUUAGAACCUUUGAGUUCAUAUUUCACAAUUACUGGUGGUCAAACCUUGUUCAUUGAGUCCUCUGUUGGGUAUAGUUGUAAUGCAUCCAAGGGUUUUUACAUUGCAGGGGAAGUACACCUACUAGUUCUAUAUGCAAAUUUUGAUACUAAACCUGAAGGCAUAGUGCAUGAACCUCCAAGUGUGAAUGAUGACCAACAAUUUAGCCAUAAAUCUUUAUUUCCUCGACACAUUGGCGAUGUACAUUUCUACUAUGUUGCUGAAUAUGCCAAACGAACUGACUCUGUCUUCUUUCUCCUUGCUUCAACUGAGCUAGUGUUUAUGAAAAUAUUUCUCAUUGGGAAGGAUUUUCAUGUUUUACCAGUAAAAAGGCGAGAAACUUAUAAUGCAAAUGGUCUUCUAGUGAGUGCUCCAUAUGCAGAUGUACACGAAGAUGUGAAGCACGACCUCAAGAAUGAUAGUAAACUUCCAUGGACAUAUCAUACUCUUUGUCAUGUCUAUCAGCGUGAAUUUUGUUACAAGGAAGCAAUACUAAGUGAGGCAAAUUGUUCAACGCCAUGGAGUCCUUUGUCAUUUUUUAAUUGUACGCACAAUGAGGGGCGCAUUGCACUUUGUUACACGAAGAAAAUGAGGAUGAAGCUUACUUGCUCUAUUACUGGUGUUUUUCUACUGUCUUACUUGGUUGAGCAAAUGGUUAUUCCUUGGAUUGGUUUUAGAAAUGCUACAUCUUUCUCUCUAUCUAUUCGUUUUAACAAAGAUCCAAUUCGAGCCAAUGUGGAAAUGCUAGCUAUUCCAAGUUCUUCAACACUUCUUGGAAUUUGUUACAUGCCUCCAGAAGUUGGCGUCCAGAACUUACAAGUGCCACUGCCUUCUAUGCUAAAUCACAUGGCCGAGAAUUUACACAAAACAAAUGUUUUUGUGUUGAACUUUUUUGAGAAAUUCUCUUACGAGAGUGUUACAUUUCCCUCGUCAAUUUGGCUCUACUUGAACCUUGAGGACAAGGUUCUCAUUUCAGGGGAGAGUAUUGUUGUGAACACGGCUGACCAAGUUAUUGGGCUUGACGCUAAACCACAAAGAGGCCCAAGAAUUAGACAGCCCAAUACUUGUUUUGCUUGGGAUCCAGGUUGAGUAGACUUAAAAUGGUUGUCAUCUGCGGUUUUUGGAGGAUUAUGCGUAUUAUGAAGAAAUUGUCUUUUCCUCUCAUCUUUUUUCUAGAGUCUUAACUUCUCAUCCCCAUUCUUAUCUCUAUCUUUAGUUACUUGUUAUUUCACUACUUCUCUUUGUAAUUCAAGUGUUGUUAUUAUAAUUUGGUUAUCAAUGAAUAUAAUGUUUAUGUAUCUGUAUUGAGAAAUCGGGUUUGUUUCAACAUGUCACAAUUUAAUUAAUAAAUACAUGCCACAAAAACUCAUUAUUUUUAAUUAAUAUUCUUAACCAUAUACAUUUUAUAUAGAAAUAAAAAUAUCUCAACUAUUUUCUGGGGUGAAUUUGUGGAAUAGAUCAAAUCAUAUUUGGAUGAAUUCCAAUGACAAGCUUAGUGUCGUUGUCAUGCAAUUGAUUAAGACACAUUAAUUUCGAGGUUAUUUAAGUGUCUAACUUUACUAUUCAAGAGAACUAUACAAUUAGAAAACUCUUAAUAAAAAUUAUUAAUUAUGUAGGUCAAAUUCCUGUGAAGAACACUUGGCACGUUUACACGCUUUGGAUCAAUUCAAUUCUUCCUCUAAGUUAACGAAUUACUAGAAAAAGCUCACAAAGAAUUACACAAAUUUCUUCACCAAAGAGUCAAUCUAUUGCUACAGAAUUGACAUCUGAAGUACAUGAAAUUGAGGAUUUGAUUGACAGUAAGCCUGUAAGUAAUUAAUUUUCAUUCCUUAAUUCAACACACUUUUUUUAUAAAAAAAAUAAUAUAACAGUAAUUAUUUAAUCUCUAUUUGCAGCAAGAGAAUUAUUUUAUUGCGGCAAAGAGAAUCCAUCUAGAAAUAGAUCGUGGAUGGUUUUAUUUAGCAUGCAAACAAUGUGCAAAGGGGAUUGAUGAAAAAAGGGGUCAAAUUAUAUUGUAAAAGGUGUACUAUUCAAUCAGUCAUCCGUAGGUAUAACCAAAAUUCAUAUUUUUCUCUCAAUGUUUCAUACAAAUUCAAUAAUCUAAUAGAAUGACUUUUCAAGGUACAAAUUGCUAAAAGUUAAAGUUUUGAAUUUCACUGGCAAAAUUUCCCUUAUGUUGUGGGAUUGGGUAGAAACAAAGAUGAUUGGAAAAACUGCUACUAAUUUAUUUGAGGUAAGUUAAAAUUCUAAGCAUGUUUAACCUUUAUAUCGUAAGUUAUACAUUUUGUUCCAGUAUCUUCAUUCUAACUACGCAAUAUAUAUCUUUUUCUUAAGACUGUUGAUGCUGCAAAUAAGUCUGCAUAUCCUAUGGAGUUGGACAAUAUUGUGGACAAUACAUACAUGUUUCAACUGGAAUUAAAGAGCUCCGUGUCAUGACCCGCCGCUUUGCCCUUCAAGUUUUGCGCCGGAAGAGGGGAGAAGAAUCUAGAGUUGUGGAGAGGUUAGUAGAACUCUCUAGAUAAUUUUAAAGAAAGCUUUACAAUUCCCUAGAAAGUGUAGAGAAUUCUAGAGAGGGACCAAAGUGUAAAUACUUUAGGGACUUGUGUAAUAAUUUUUAUUUGCACUUUAGACCCUAUAUUGUAGUAUAAAUAGAUGAGCCAUUCAUUUGUAAAUCAUCCAUCCAAGCUUGAAGCAAGCAUCACUCAAGUUGCAAAGCAUUCUCCAAAGCAAUACAAGGCCUUCUUUCAAAGUUCUCUUGUCUUUAUUUACAUUCUCUUAGCGAUCUAAGUUUCAAAGGCUUACUUGAGUUUACAAGAUCUUGAAAGAUUAGUAAGUAAGUUGUCAAGUGCCGCACGAAGCUUUAGUAAGACUCUAAGUUCGUGACAACGAGGUAUCAGAGCAAAGGUUUGAUAUUAAGGGAAUGACUAAUGAAGGAGACAUAAACGCCACUAACACCACUAACGUCAGGCUAGAUGGUGGAAAGAAGAACCGCAAGGGAAAGAAGCACCUUAAGAGUGGCGAGGAAACGCUGCCCGAUCCUACACCAAGAGAGGCGCUAACAUCUCACCCACCUUCGACCACUGAAGCAAGUGACGAUGACCGUGGCGAGGAUCCCAUUGACAUCACACCCGAAGAGGAGUGGAUUGCAAGGGUUGAAACGACGAGGCAGGCCGUGGAGAUCUUAGGCAGACGCUUGAACAAGGUCGAUGGCAAGUUCAAGACUCUGGAGGACUUCACCCUUGAGGAGACCGACAAUAUCUGCAAGGAGUUGGAGGGACGUCAGCGUGCCGGGUUUGAGAUGAAGGAGGUUAUCACUUCCUUGGAGUGUCGGCUCAUGGAGGAGUUAAGCACGAUUGAGACCAUGAAGGCCAAGAUGAAAGCACUCAAGAAGGGCUUGGAAGUUGGAGGAUCAUUGUCGUUUGACCGAGAUAGGGAGGCCAAGGUCGAGGCUUCCAAGCCAUCUAUGUUCAAAGGCGUCUGUGACGUGCAAGAGGUGGAUAAUUUCCGUUGGCAUUUUGAGAAUUACUUCAAGUGCAACAGAGUGAAGAGUGAUGAGAGUAAGAUUAACACUGUGGUGUUGUACCUCUCAGAGAUGGCCAUGUUGUGGUGGAGGCGUAAAGAGUCGGAAAUAGGGAAGGGACUUUGCACCAUCAACACUCAAUUUCAAGUGGAGUUCAAAAAGGCUUUCUUCCCUAACAAUGUCAUCUAUGAGGCGAAGCGCAAGUUGAGGGAGCUGAGGCAGAUAGGCAACAUACGCGCAUACCCUCACGCUUCAGGUUCCUAACCUCAUGGAUGAAGAUAUGUUGUUUCACUACAUAAAUGGGCUGCAAAAUUGGGCCAGGACGGAUUUGGAACAUUGACAUGUCAGGACUAUCGAUAAGCCAUCACGCAGGACGAAGCUUUGACAGACUUCAGGCAUGAGAAGCCCGAUAGAGCUGGAGGAGAGGAAGUAAGAGGUAGUCAUGACCAUGGUGGGGGAGAUUGUGGCAAAGUCAAGGAGCAACGGCCACAUCCCAAGAAUCAUGAUACCUACAAGUCAAAUGGCAAGAAGUCUGGACGUCAAAGCAAUGUUGAGAGAAAGUCAGAACCUACAAAGAGAAACGAUUGCUACAAAUGUGGUGGGCCGCAUGGCUAUGCAAGGUGCCCUGAACUGAACAGUCUUGGUGCUAUCCUGCGAGAGCGGAAGGAGAAUGAUGCACAGAAGCAAAGACAAGGCGCAUAGAUUAUGCAGUUGGGCUUGAUAGGACUAUGCAGAGAUAUCACGAUGCAGCCAGGGAAGCCGAGAGAAUACGACGCACAGUAUGUCGACCUCAUGAUUAAUGGAAGACCCGCUCGUGCUAUGGUCGACACGGGUGCAGAGGCCAAUAUUAUGACCAAGACAGCAGCAACAAAGUUGGGGCUGAGUUACAAUCCAAGUAACCCUCAACUCAGGACGGUCAAUGCACCACCGACUCCCGUGUGUGGAGUCGCACAUGAAGUAAGCAUCACGCUAGGCGAGUGGCAAGGUAAAACCAACUUCACUGUCACUCAUUUAGACCUUUUUGACAUAAUUCUUGGGCAAGAGUUCUUCCAGCAGUGCCACGCAGUGAUCGAUCCUUACCUCCAACAACUCUUGGUCAUGGAGCAAGGAGGAUCAUGCAUGGUGCCCCUGGUUAAGGUACCAACGAUGGAAGGGCAAGUUCGACUAACGACCAUGAAGCUCGACAGAAACCCUAAGAAGAAGGAUUCGACUUUUAUAACCACCAUUGCAAGUUCGAAAGAAGACGAUGGUGCAAGAAGGUCCUUUCCACCAUGCAUGAAGAAGGUUCUAGAAGGGAACAAUUUUGUGAUGCCAAAGGAGCCGCCAAGACGCGUGCCUCCUAGGAAGGAGGUAGACCAUAAGACCGAGCUAGAAGAGAUAAGAAAGCAACUGAAGGAGUUGCACGAGGGCAUUGAUCGAGUCAAUGGACUAUUGGUUGCGCAUACGAGAAGACAAGACUCAGUUAUCUAUGCACCGGUGAUGCGAUGCGGUCGUCACAUCAAUAGGUGAGGGAGAGUGUCAUGACCCGCCACUUUUCCCUUCAAGUUUUGCGCUGGAAGAGGGGAGAAAAAUCUAGAGUUGUGGAGAGGUUAGUAGAACACUAUAGAACUCCCUAGAUAAUUUUCAAGAAGGCUUUAGAAUUUCCUAGAAAGUGUAGAGAAUUUUAGAGAGGGACAAAAGUGUAAAUACUUUAGGGACUUGUGUAGUAAUUUUUAUUUGCAGUUUAGCCCCUAUGUUGUAGUAUAAAUAGACGAGCCAUUCAUUUGUAAAUCAUCCAUCCAAGCUUGAAACAAGCAUCACUCAAGUUGCAAAGCAUUCUCCAAAGCAAUACAAGACCUUCUUUCAAAGUUCUCUUGUCUUUAUUUACAUUCUCUUAGCGAUCUAAGUUUCAAAGGCUUACUUGAGCUUACAAGAUCUUGAAAGAUUAGUGAGUAAGUUGUCAAGUGCCGCACAGAACUUUAGUAAGACUCUAAGUCCGUGACAUCCGACAGUCAAAAUCAAGAUGAAGUGUUUAGAGUUGUUACAUUUACUGAUGACAAUGAUAUUAUUGAAAAUACAAGUAUACUUCACACGUAGAUACAUAUAAGGUAUUAUUUUAUAUUCAAACAUUUAUCAGGUUUAAUUUGAAUUGAAUUAUAAUUUUUGUACACAACUUUUAGGAUCCAUACUUCAAUGAUAACCAAGUCAGUCUUGACGAUUGUGAAUUCAAGGUUAUUUUACAACAUAUUAUUAAUAUUUGUUAUAUUGUUCAUUAAAUAUAGAAACUCAAUAGUCCUUCAAAACUAACUUUAAAAUUUCUAUCCCAAUUUAUGUGACACUUUUUGAAUUUUGAGCUUCAAACAAGUAUAUCUUUGACAAUAAAUUUUUCAUAUAUCUUUAAUAUUUUGAAUUGUCAAUCAUUGUGACUUAUAAUACUUUUUACGGAGUUUAUAAAUAUAUAAAUUUCAUUUCAAAAAAUUUGAAGAUUCCAUGCACUAAUUCCUAAUCAAACAUAAACUAUUUGACUCAUCAAAAAAUGAAAAGUGGCACAUAAAUUGGGACAUAUAGAGUAAUAAAUAGGAAUAAUUGAGAAAAAAAUAAAUGUCAUUCUUGACUUUAGAAGCAUGUCAGUCACCUCCUCUACAUCUAGCUUUAUUGUAUAUAUUAGAUUAUUUAUAUUACAACUUAUAUAUAUUUAAUUAUUUUCAUUUCUUUCUUUGUAAAAUAUUUAUUUUAAUUUUUUUGUUACUCUAAACUUUUUAUUUUGUUUUCUUUUAUUAGUUUUUUAUCUUUUCAUUAAAAAAAUUCUUAAAAAAUUAUGUGUUUUUUUUUAAAAAAAAACAAAAGUGUAUUUUAUUUUUUAACGUUUUAUUUGAUUUUCUUCAUUUAUUUUGAUAUCCAUUUGAAAUUAGCUUAUUUUAAAUAUAAUUUUUCAAUUAAAUUUGAAAAUUAAAACAAAAGGAAAAGCAAUAGUUUAAAACCCUACAUAUAGCUACAAACUAUAAUAUUUUAAAGUAUAUUGGUUUAUCUUAAAUAAAUAUCACAGAGGAGGAAUGUUUCCAAGGGGGAGAUAUUGUAAGACCUCAGACUUCGAAAAGGGCUAAAAGGGGUUUGUACAAGUCACCCAUCAAUUUUGAGUUUUGGGUCAACUUCAAACAACUAUAUCUCUCAGAACAUAAAGAAUUAGGUAGCCCAUGACCUAUCAAAUUAAAGGUCUUUGAGUCCUCUUUCCAACGCCACCAAGUUUGCUUCAUUUCGAGUUCAGAGUAAGAAGAUAUGCCCGUUUUAAAGAACCUUCCUUUUAAGGCACCUUGUCAGUUUUUAAGAGGGGUAGUUUGAUCUUUUCCCACCCCUUCUAAGCUUAAGCCACAUUUUUUCUUCACCUAAUUAAGGGUCUAAUUUGUAUUAAAACAUCUUUUCAUGUUCUUCAAUACUUAGAAGAAUUAGAGCAAUAUUCCAAGGGUUCAAGCGUUCUUCAAGUUUCCAUCGAUUUUUGCCUAGAACCUUUACCCUUUUACAGGUAUGUAAGGCUAUCAUAGUGUUGGACUAGUUCGUCGUCACGCCUUACUUCUCAAUUCAGUUAGAAAUCGUCAAAUCUAAAGGAUUCAUUCAUAGUUCUUGAUAUAGAAUUAUGUUCUUUAACAAUUGACGCUUUGAGUCUUUUGUUUUGUGAAUCUUAUAGUGUUUUUCAUGCUUGGUAUCGCAUGAUCCCUAUUGAUUUAGUAAAGUUAUGUUUUCAAAAGGAAUUGUAUGAAAGUUCUCAUGUAUUGGUUUUGGAUUUGAGAAACAAGUAGAGUUAGGAGAAAUUUCCUAAUUCUAAACUAAUUUGGGGUCUUAAUUUAACUUGAAAAUUUGUCGAGGAUACUGGGGAAGACCUUGGGGCGCCGUGCCAGUAAUGCGCUAGGCUUGGCCUUCAGUAGUUCAAGCCCUGGGGCAGUGCGCUAGUAGUGUGCCCAAGCCUGACUUAUGAAGUUCAGGGCUUGGUGCCCUGCGCCAACAAUGCGCCCAGGCCUGACUUAUGAAGUUCAUGGCCUGGUUCCCUGAGCCAAUAGUACGUCAUGGAUUGUUGGGCCAAUUAUUUUCUUUGUUGCAUUCGACGUAUGUUCCUUUAAGUUGUGGCCACGUUUCCCUUCUCUGUAUUAGCUCCUAUAAGCUCCAUUUACCUUUGAAAAUUCCAGCAUAUCCUAAUCAUAUGUCUUAAUGCACAUUCAAAACUAAAUUGAGCUUAAGAGGAGAGUUCAAGAGCUUUUAUAGAGUUAUCAUUGAAGAACCCUUUUUAACCAACAAUGAUCUUAAACUAAUUUUUCUGAAAAAGUAAGGAUGAGUUUUGAGAAGAGUUCCAUACAUAAUUGAGAAAGAAUAUAAGGGAACUAAGUAUUCCCCAAUGUAACAUUUUUACAUUGAGAAAAGAGAAACUUUGAUUUCUCAAAAUAGUUUAUGAGUUCAGGAUAUUUCAGAGCAGUUGCUUCUUUUAAGAGGUUAUUUUGAGUAAUUAUCUCAAAACAGAGAAAGAAUAUUUAUACUUGAGCAUAAGUAUAUAUAUUUAUUAGGAGUAGUAUUAAGCACCGAUAUGGGAUGAGUUCAGACGACUCACAUUCCUCAUAAACUAUGUAGCCAACAUGGGUAAAUGAUCGUACUUUUUAGAUGACUCCUUAUUGCUUUCGAGCAUAGCUUUAGUGGAUCCACUUAGUUGAGGUGUUCUAUACCCCGAUAAGGUAUAGAACAGUUCUGACAGCGUGGGCAAGACGAUGUAUCAUCACAUAGCUCAUAGUGAUGAUUAUUGGUUAGAGAAUCUUCCAUAUAAGAGUAAAGAAUAAUUUAUUGUAUUUUUAUAUACAUGUAUCUUUUAUUUAUGACGAUUUAAACAUUUCAUCUCUUAUUAGUGCUUUGUAUUGAGUUGAGUUGAGGUGAGUAUUCUUCCAAUCUUAUCAAUGUAGCUAUUUAUUCGUUCAACGUUUUUACAUACUUGUACAUUCAAUGUACUGAUGUUAUUCGACCUGCAUCGUUCUAUGGUGCAUAUACAUGUGUUCAGGAUCAUCAACAGGUGCUCCGUUGAUAUCAUUUAGCACUCCAGUUAGCUUUUGGUGAGCCUCCUUGCAUUCCGGAGGACUCCCCCCGUUCCUUUCAGUUUAGUCAGUUUAGGGUGUCGUGGGUUUUGUCCUGACAUCCAUGUUGAACUAUAGAGGCUUCAUAGAUAUAUAGAGUUGAGGAGUCUCUCAUUACCUUCUUUCCCUUUGAGGGUGUUUUACAAAUUAUUAUUGCAUUAAGUAUUAUUUUCAGACAGUAUGAGUUGAACAUUUUAUUGUUUUAAUGAUUUACUUCUAUUUUAAGCCUUUAAAUGCUUGAGUCAGUCUUCCGCUAAGUAGUCAGCCAAGACAAGGAUAUGCUUGAGGACCAGCAGUGGUUCUCGAGUGUCAUCCAUGUACAGGGUAUAUGCUCGGGGCAUGACAGUAAUAUAUGACUUUUUUUAAGACUGCUGAUGCUGCAAAUAAAUCUGCAUAUCCUAUGGAGUUGGACAAUAUUGUGGAUAAUACAUACUUGUUUAAACUGGAAUUGAAGAGCUCCGACAAUCAAAGUCAAGAAGCCAAGAUGAUGUGUUUAGAGUUGUUACAUUUACUGAUGAUAAUGAUAUUAUUAAAAAAUACAAGCCUACUUCGCACGUAGAGACAUUUGAGGGUCGUUUGGUACAAAGAUGCAUAAUGCAGGGAUUACUAAUGCAGAGUUUAGUAAUGCGGGGAUUAGUUUUUAUCAAGUGUUUGGUUCAUUGUUUCCCAUUUAAUCUUAUGUUUGGUUUAAAAUUCUAGAAAAAGUUUAUUUCCCAUUAUACCCUUAAAUUAUUAUGAGAUUUUAUAUUUUAUUUAAUUUGUCAAGUUAAAUACUAAAAUAUAUUUAAAAAAUUAUUAUUAAUUUUGAGGUGUGAUAUGCCACCAUAGAGAUCCUUGAUAGCACGGUAUAUUUCUAAUUUUUUUGUUUGUCAAAUAUACCUUGAACUUAACAUAGAUUUAAGGCUACUUAAAUUGUUCAAAUACACAAAGCUUGUUUUUUUUAAAAAAAUAGUUCAAGUGGUCAAUCGACAAACUACAUUUAAAAAAAAACGAAAAAACCAACCCAAUAUAACAAAUCAAAUAUGGAGAAAAAAAUAUUAAUUUGUGAAAUCAUCAAAUCACAUGGAACGAAUUUGGAGAAUUUAAAAGAAUAUUUAUAAAUAUUCUCAUAUAAAUAAAAAAAAGAGCAUUAAAUUACAAAAAAAAUAAUUAGGAAAAAAGAUUUGGGGAUAGUUUAGUCAUUUAGGCGUCUUAUCCAAGGAUUGUUAAACUUUGGAUUAGUUAUCCCUCCCUUUUCUAGGAAUUAAUUAAGACCUUGUAUGAGGUAUAACUAAUCUAAUCCAUGGAUUAGGUUAAAUAAAGUAACCAAACAAUGUUUUUGUUGGACUAAAUUUUAAUCCAUGGACUAUUUUGAUUAAUAUCUCCUACCAAACGGGUCCUUAAGGUAUUAUUUUAUAUUCAAACAUUUAUCAGGUUUAAUUUCUAUGAUUAAAUUAAAUUAUAAUUUUUGUACAUAAUUUUUAGGAUCCAUAUUUCAAUGAUAACCAAGUCAGUCUUGACGAUUGUGAACUCUAGGUUAUUUUACAACAUAUUAUUAAUAUUUUUUAUAUUGUUUAUUAAAUGUAGAAACUCAAUAGUCCUUCAAAAAAUGAAUUUAAUUUUUUUACCUCAAUUUAUGUGACAUUUUUCAAAUUUCAAGAUUCAAACAAGUUUAUCUUGGACAAUAGAUUUUUCAUAUAUCUUUUAAAUAUUUUGAAUUGUCAAUUAUUGUGACCUAUAAUACUUUUUACGUUAUUUAUAAAUAUAUAAAUUUCAUUUCAAAAUUUUUUGAAGAUUCUAUGCACAAAUUUUCGGUCAAACUUAAACUAUUUGACUCAUCAAAAAAUGAAAAGUUCCACAUAAAUUGGGACAGAUGGAGUAAUAAAUAGGAAUAAUUGAGAAAAAAAAAAUGUCAUUCUUGGCCAUAAAAGCAUGUUAGUGAGCUCCUCUACAUGUAGCUUUAUUAUAUAUAUAUAUAUAUUUAAUUAUUUUCAUUUCUUUCUUUGUAAAAUAUUUAUUUUAAUUGGUUUUUUACUCUAAACUUUUUAUUUUGUUCUCUUUCAUUAGUUUCUUAUCUUUUCACUUUUAAUUUUCUUAAAAAAAUACACAUAUUUUUUUAAAGAAUAAUAAACAUCUUCUGUUUGGGUAGAUUUGGGGUAAGAGAAGAAAAAUAAUGGAUGAAGAUCUGGUUUCAAGGUAAUUAGCUCCAGAAACUUAUUUAUUUAUUUAUUGAUUCUGUUAGUGAAUUGACGGAAUUUUAUGUUUUAUUUAUUGAUGAAAGGACAUGACUUUGGCACCAAUUUCUGAUCAAUCUUUUUUUCUUAUAAUUGUAUGAAAUUAACUGAGAUUGAUUUGGUUUGUGAUGUAAGCUUACCUGGUCUUUUCAAUUGGGUGUACUACUAAAAGCUAUGUCGAACUUUGGGUUUUUUCAGGCGGCAACAAAACUAGUAGUGAAUGGGGGCUUAAAUUUAAGGUGAGUUUGACAGAGACAAUCCUAAUACUUCCAUUGGGCACUUUUGGAUUUCCAUUAAUCAUAUUCAUCCAUACAACUCCCACCUAAUUUUAGUGGAAACAUACCAUAACUACUAAUAUUGGUACGAUUUUGAAACUGGGAAAUUGCAUGAGGUAGCAAGUAAUUAUACUUUAUGCGAUCACUUCCUUUAUGAGUUCCCAAUGGAUCAUUUCAAGACUUUGACAGAAACUGUCAUGCAAAUCUCUGUGUUAUGCUAUUUGUGUUUUGAAUUUUGUUGUUAUUAUUAAUGACAUACUCACAAUGUGAAGCAAUCAAGGUUGCUCUAUUAUUGUUUAUUGCAAUAAUAUAGCUAUGACAUUUUAGCUUGUUUGUAAACAAAAUCAUUUGAAGUAAUUAAGAAAAAAAUUUCUUAGCAUUAGUUUUCACUCUUCUUUUUAUAAAAUAAAAUUGUAGCACCACUAGAAACAAAAAGUUUGUUCGAUUAUAAUUUACAAUUUAUGUGCUUUUUAAACCUAUUUUAUGUAUUGUGAAGUGGGGGUGGGACAAUAGUUACUGAUCUUAAAGAAAAAGAUAAUUAAUAGGGUGUACGUUUGAUUAGGUCAUAUCAUUUUCAUUAUUCUUGAACUUAACUAAUUAGUUAUGUUGAAAUAUGAACACCGAAUUCAUCAUAUACUUUCUUAAAGUAUGAUUAUUCUUUUAAAUCCAGUCAAAUUAGAAGAACUUGCGAGAAUGACUGAAGCUUAGGGGUUAAAAGAGUCCAGUAGUUAUAAUUAAGAUAAUUAUCAUUCAUAACUAACUUUUAAGUGGAUAUCCCAUCGUAUUCAAUGUAUUCACGAUUGUAAUUUGUUUCUAAUUAUGAUUAACUAAUCCUUAACAACAAAACUAAAAAACGCUCUAGAAAACCCUAGAAACCUACCCUACAAAAAGCGGCGGUCACAUGCCCGCCAAUACUGCUGGUGGGAUCAUCCCACCAGAGAAGUUCCCACCCCUACCUAUGACAGACAAAAUUGGAAUCCAAACUACCCACACCCACAAAGACUCUAAUAUGUUCCAAUAUACAACCCUUCUUAAACCUAAAAUCGUAGCUCCUCAAAUCCCAGUGAUACCGGUCAAACUAGUGAUAAUUCUAAUUUCAAUAGGGAGAACCGAGCAUUACAUGGAAGGAAUCCGAAGUUAGAUCACUAAUCAUUAAGGAAAAUUUGCAGUAUGCAAUUAUAGGGAAUUUUUUGUAUGGCAAACUAGAUAUUGCAGAACUGAGGAAGACGAUCCCAAGUCAUUGUGGUAUUAAAGGCGAUUGCUCGAUAGGGGUCUUGGAUACAAGGCGAAUACUGAUUAGACUUACAAUGAUGGAGGAUUUUGUGCAUUUCUUAUCUUCCGUAACCUUUUAUUUUAAGGCAAAGGAGAAUUACUGGUAAAUGUGUACCCUUAAAUGGGAUCCAUGGUUUAAACCUGAUGUAGAAACAACUAUUGGAGUGGCGUGGAUAUCAGUUUCAGAUCUACCACCAAACUUUUCUGCCAGGAGGCUAUUUUCUCAAUAGCAAGUGUAGUAGGCAGGCCCCUAAUGGGGGACAUGGAAACAAAGAAUCAUAAUAGGCCGAGUUGUGCUAGAGUAAAAAUCAAAGUGGAUCUGACUGCAAAGUUAACCCAGAGAGUAAAGAUUAACGAAGAAAAUGAUAGGAGUAAUAAAUCCAAGUGGAUUAAAGUGCAAUAUGAUUACAUGCCUAAAUAUUGCAAAUAAUAUUGCUUACAAGGUCAUGACAAACAAAACUGCUGGACAAUUCACCCAGAGAUGAAUGAAAAAGAAAAGCAAAGGGAUGGGCAAGAAAGCACACAGAACAUUAUUGGAACGACGACAAACCAAAGAAGAACUUUAACAAGCGGGAAAGUGGUAGGAAACAAGAAAAAUAGAUAAGAAUGGAUGAUAAGGAGAAGGAAUAAAUACAAGAGGGACAAAUAUGGGCACAUAGAAGGGGAGAUCGACUAUCAAGAUGAUAACGCCUUUGAAGCUCUGAGGAAGGCAAAAGAAAUAGACAAAGGAGAAAGCAAUGAGAGCAAAAGGGAAGGGGAAAGUACCAAAGAAUGGGUGAACAAAACCUUUGCCAUCAAGGAGCAGAAAGACAAGUAGGAAACUUAGGAAAUUCAAAAGAAAGACAAUGGAAAGAUAAUAGAGGUAGAGAAAUGUAAGGAAGUGAUUAUUCAAAGCAACCAAGGGAUUCAAGGGGAAGGACAGGAAAAAAAGGCUAAAGAUGAAUAAAAUCGAGGAAAAAUGUUAUAACGAUAUCAAUGAAGGUGCUAUAAUGAUGGCUGAAGUGAAUGAUAAGGAAAUUCUACCACUGGUUUUUUAGAUCGAUGACGAAAAGGUGGGGGAGGAUCAAAAUUGGGAUUUAAAGCAGAGUUCGAAGUAGAAUAUGGAGAAUGUAGAGAAGGAAAACUCAUCCCAAAAUAUAAGUCAUGUGGUUGUGGAAGGUGAUUUAUCGCCUAAACAAACAGGGAAACUCAAGGGAAAAUAUACCAAACAGAGGGAAAAAAAUGAAGAGGAUCUUACAAAGGCUUAAACAUCAUCCAUAAAAUCUAAGAGAACGAUUGUAAGAAAUCCUAACUAUCAAUGAAGGCUUUACUAUGGAAUAUUAGGUCAGUAAACACUCAAAAAGCAUUUACAAGACUAAUAAAUCUCCAUACGAGAUGUCAAUUUUACUUCAUUGGAUUGAUGGAACCUUUUGAAGAUAAUCAAGGACUAGAAGAGUUUAGAAGAAGGUUAGGCAUGGAACAUGCAGUAGCUAGCACUAAUGGGAAGAGCCGGGCCUUUAUUGAUGAGAUUUUUGAAUAUGAACUGAUAAGAGAUGAAGAGCAGAUGUUAAUUAUCAAAUUGAUGAAUCAAGGAUUGGGCAUUGAAGUUCUAAUAUCUCUGAUAUGUUCUAAGUACACACAAAUAAAAAGACUUCGAUUGUGGGAGUCAAUAUAUGAACUGGCAAACACUAGAACGAUACCAUGGAUGGUAGGAGGUGAUUUUAAUGUUGAAAGUAAUGAAGAGGAAAACUAGGGGAAAGGCCAGUUGUAGAUUCAGAAGUUAGAGACUUAAACCACCGUAUAAAUAUGUGUAAUUUGGAGAAUAAGGGUUUCAAGGGAAGAAAAUACACGUGGUGGAAAGGUAGAACAGAUGAGGAAUGAAUCUUUAAAAGACUGGAUAUAGGGUUGUGUAAUGAUGAAUUGCAUAUUGUCUUUCCAAUUGUAGAGACAGAGCACCUGAUAAGGAGUAGGUCAGAUCAUACACCAUUAUAAAUCACUUUAAAAGUGACCACUAAGAAGGUGAGUAAACCGUACAGAUUUUUGAAUUUCUAGCUAAAAGAAGAAUCUUUCAUGGGAGUAGUGAGGGACCACUGGAAAGGGACUUUGAAAGGAUCCUUUUAAUGUAUUUCAUCAUAAACUAAAAAGGGUUAAGAGAGAUUUAACGCAAUGGAGUAAAGAUACAUUCGACAACAUUUGAAGCAAAUCCAACUAGAUUAAAUCUGGAAAGGCUUCAUAAAGCACAAGCAGCCUUAAUAAAAUAACUUCAAAGAGAAGAAGAGUUCUGGAAACAAAAAUCUGGAAUGGAGUGGUUUAAGGAAGGAGAGAGAAAUAUAAAAUUCUUUCACACCAUAGUGAAAGGUAGAAGAAGUAGGUUGCAUGUAAACAUAAUACAAAACAAGGAAGGGGAAUGGUUAGAAGAUCAAGAGGAUAUUUCAGGAGCAAAAAUAUAUUUUUAUACCAAAUAAUUCGCAAUGCAAUAUGCUAGUGGAGAUUUUGAAUUGUUAAAUGAACUACCACAAGUAGUGAGCUAGUGGAGACAAGAAUGAGGAGAUGUAGAGAAUGCCAACGAUAGAAGAGGUCAGAGAAGCGGUUAUGGGGCUCAAUCAAAAUAGUGUAGGAGGAUCAGAUGGGAUGAUAUGUGCCUUCUAUCAAAGUGCUUGGGAAAUUAUUGGUGAAGACAUUCACAAAAUUACUAAAGCUUUUUUCUAUGGUGCUGAACUAUCUAGAUUCAUCACGCCUACGAACUUAGUCCUAAUUCCAAAAGAGAUGAUGGUUAGUACUUUUUCAUAUUUGAAGCCUAUAUCUUUGAGUAAUUUUUUGAAUAAGAUUUUUUUACGCAUCAUCCAUGAGAGAAUUAAAGGUAUGCUACCUCAAAUAAUCUCUCCUGAAAAAGCAGCUUUGUAGUAUAGCAGAGAAUGUCCUACUGGUUCAGGAAAUAAUCACGGAAAUAAGGAAAAAAGGGAAAACCACCUUAGUCAUUAAGCUGGAUAUGAUGAAAACUUAUGAUAGAGUAGAGUGGCUUUUCCUAUCUAAGGUGAUGAGGAUAUUGGGAUUUGGAGACAAAAUUAUUGAUAUGGCUUUUAGAUUGAUUAGCAACAACUGGUACUCAAUUUUGCUAAAUGGACAAUAGAAAGGUUUUUUCAAAUCCUCAAGAGGUCUAAAACAUGGCGAGCCUCUCUCACCCACUCUCUUCAUAUUGGCAUCAAAGGUGAUGUUUAGAGCUCUAAAUGCCUUGAUGAAAAAGAAAGAGUUUAAAAGGUUUGGUAUGCCAAAAGUAAGCUUGAAGUUAAAUCCUUUAGCUUUUGCGAAUGACAUGAUCAUUUUGUGUAAGGCGUAGGUAGGCACAAUGAAAAUGAUUAGAGAAACAAUGCAGAAGUAUGAAGAGGUAUCAGGACAAAAGGUGAACAAAGACAAAAGUGCAACAUAUUUGCACCAUAGUGUCAAUGGAGGAGAAUCAGUGGUUGCAUAAGUGGCGACAUGAAUCCUAAGGAAAUAAUUUCCCUUUACUUAUCUGGGUUGCCCUGUAUUUUAUAAGGGAAAGGAAAAAGCCUACUAUCAGCUAUUGAUUCAAAGGAUUGGAGCUAAGAUACAAGGAUAUAAAGGUAAGUUAUUAUCUUACGGGGGACGGGUUGUGCUGAUUAAAUAUGUACUCCAUACUAUCCCCUAUACAUUAUUUAUCAAUCAUGAACCCUCCAAGCAAUGUAUUAAUACAUGUGCAAAAAAUGAUUGCUCAAUUCUUUUGGAGUAGUUGCAUGGAAGGAAGAGACAGACACUUGAGUAAAUGGGGAAACCUAUGUCUACCAGAGGAGGAAGGAGGACUAGGUUUUAGACUAAUGCAUGAUGUAUCAAUGAAUUUGUUUUGCAAGAUUUGGUGGAAUUAUAGAACAAAACAAACUUUAUGGAGUGAAUACAUGAGAAACAAAUACUACAAGUUGAAAAUUUAGAAUCUGGCCAUGUGGAAAGUAAGAGGAGGAAACUCUCAAGUGUGGAGGAAAAUGCUAAUGCAAGAGAUUUAAUUUAACAUCAAAUACUAUGGCGAACUAAGAAUGGUUCAGUUUCACUAUGGCAUGAUAAUUGGAUAGGAUUGGGGGACACGUACACAAUUACUGGAGACAACUUCUCUUGGGAGGAGAGGUAUGAAAAAGUUAGGGAUCUAACAAAAAAUGGGAAUGGGAUGUGGAAUUAUUAAAUGAAACAUUACCCCCAGAAUUUUUCGGACAUAUCCUAUGCCAUAUUAAGCCUCCUAAAGGUAAUAAAAAUGUCAAAAUGGGAAUGGGAUUUGGGGAAGUUUUUCAUUCAAAACAACAUGGAACUAUAUAAGGCACAAUAAGGACCCUAAUAUAAUUCAUAGGUGGAUUUGGAAUAAGGGGAUGCCUUUCAAAAUAACAUUUAUGAUGUGGAGGAUGUGGAAGUUUAAGAUCCCCAGGGAUGAUAGGCUGAGAAGAUGUGAUCUUGAACGACCAUCUAGAUGCUGGUGCUGUGACAAACCUGAUCAAGAAACACUAUCACAUGUGUUCUUAUAAUAAAAAUUUGCUAACAGGACUUGGUCCUACUUAUGUUCUUUUCCAGGUCUAAACAUUACAUAAUUGUACUUAAGGGAAGUUAUAAUGUUGUAGUGGGGGAUCCACAUUAAGACAGAUAUAAGACCUUAUUGUAGAGCUAUCCUAGACUUUAUAAUUUAGGAAUUGUGGAAAAGAAGGAACAAAAAGAAGCAUGUAGGCAAAAACAUUUCACUGCUAAGAAUCAUGCAUAAUGUGACCAGGAACAUGACUAUGUUGGCUAAAAUGAAAAUGCCUAACAUGAUAGGGGGAGGAACCUGGCUUGAAAUCCUUAAGGAGCUAGAGGAAUGUAGUCCUAAAGUUAAGGUCAUCAAGGUUAAAUGAGAAUACCCACCGGUAAGUGGAUCAAAUACAACAUAGAUGGAGCAGCUAAAGGAAACUCAAGAUUGAGCUCGUAUGCCUACUAUUUAAGAGAUGAGAAUGGAGAUAUUAUACAUGCAGAAGGAGCCAGGAUUGAAAAUACAACAAACAUUAUGUAAGAGGCAAAAGCUAUUCUAGAAGCAAGCAAACAUUGUAAGAACUCACAACAUAAUCAGGUCAUUAUUCAAACUGAUUCUAUGUUAAUGUGCGAAGUGCUAAAAGGAAAAUGGGCCACUGCAUGGGCAAUUUCAGAUAUUGUGGAGGAAAUUAAAACAUGCUUACAGGAUAAACAACAUACAUUUCAGCACAUAAUGAGGGAGGGGAACCAACUUGUUGACUACCUAGAAAACAAAGUAAUAAAGCAGGGUACAUGCAGAUAUGGAGAUUUUAAUAGCCAGGAACUAGACAAUAAGAGAAUCUUAAACAAUGAUAAAAGUCAGAGCCCAUACUUAAGGAUAUCACCAUUAAGGAGCUAAUGGGGAAGGGGAGGCUAAAGCAUUAAGUUUUCACAAUUAUAGUAUUUACAAAAGCCACAGGGGGACAAAAGAUGUGGAAUGCUAAUUAGCCUAGGCUAUCUCAGCCAACAAAAAGGACUCGGCAAAAUGGGGGUUAUAAUGUUCAAGAACUUAAACCUAGAGAAAGCACUUAUCACUAGUUGGAAGUGGCGGAAUAAAGCUACCCAUGCACCCCUGUCGAGCACCACCUGGAGAAAAGUAGAAGAAGUAAACAGAGUACAAGGCAACAAAGGAAGUUUAAUGAAGCAGCCCUACCUAGUGAAUAAGUCAUCCCCCAUCAGAUGGCUUCGAGAAGCAAAACAGAAAGUGCACAACCCAUUGUACCGGAAAACACAACUAGGAACAAAUAUGUCAGAAACACAAACAAAGGGCAAAGGAAAUUCGAAUAGAAUGAAAUACUUAUUAUUGAUAGCUGGAAUCUAAGCUUGCAAGAUGACCUACAUCAUCAUGUUGAUGAUCCACAACAAUAUGAGUCAAAAUCUUUUGUUCAACCACAAUUGGAACACAAAUCAGAUUGGAAAAGCUUUGCUUGAUAUAAGCGAGGAGGCGGAAUUAGGAAAUGAAGAGAUUGAGGCGUUUAGGGAACCCUAACUUCUAGGGAUGUGUUUUGAAGGAUGGGAAUCCGAUGGGCUGGACUCA
This 49914-nucleotide long non-coding RNA is filed under the name Solanum tuberosum (potato). RNAcentral describes it as "long non-coding RNA (STUB_LNC007101)". Lineage: Eukaryota; Viridiplantae; Streptophyta; Magnoliopsida; Solanales; Solanaceae. The record is from RNAcentral.